Molecule: long non-coding RNA, 66934 nt
Filed under: Vigna radiata
Lineage: Eukaryota; Viridiplantae; Streptophyta; Magnoliopsida; Fabales; Fabaceae
Description: long non-coding RNA (VRAD_LNC002218)
Source: RNAcentral
UUAUUAGAAUGUUUAGAGUGCAAAAUAAAAAUUACUACAACCGAACAUUGUGAAAAAAAUUCUAGUGUGAACACAAUGGCAGUUCUUGUUCUUGGCAUGAAUUCCAAAGACUACUUCUGUAAAAAUGUAUCAUUGUUAUAGUCUUCACCAAACAGAAAUACAAACAAAAACAUAUGAAAUGCGAAAAUGUUAUUUGUCUUGGUCGUUAGGACGUGACAUUCAUACCACUUCAAAAAAUUAAAGCACAUUAAACCAGAGACAAAAUCUAUUGAAAUUCUGUGUGGUUGAAAAAGUGAAAACUGUUAAAUAAAAAUAUAUUCCUAUUUUAUUUUUUAGAAAAAAUUUAUAUAUUAUUUAAUUAAUUAGUUUAGUAUAUAUUUCUCAAAAUUGGUUAUAAAUUAUGUAGUAUAUAUAUUUACUCUUUAUUCUCAAUAAAAAUAUCGGUUUCUUUUUCAUUUUUUUUCUCUAAUACGUUAAAACUCAACAAAAUCAAUUCAAAAAAAUCAAAUUUAAUUGGUUUUGCUUCCACUCCACUCCUCUCUGUUUGCUUACGCUCCCCUAUAUCUGUUCUUGCUUAGUCAUGCACAACAAUACACAGUUCAAUUCACCGAUUGUAUGUCUCUGAUUCAUGGCUUGUACACCACGAACUUCUUCAUGGGACGCUUGCACAGUUGACAAAUUACAGUUCCUUGACUCAGUCUUCCAUUUUUACUCGAGGGAACAAAGUAAGAGUGAGUGCAACUCCCUCCAACAAAAUCAGUUUCUAGGAUGUUUCUUGGAGAACCCCACAAUCCAAACUUGGUUAUAUUUUCUCUCCACACAGAACAUUUCCUUAAGAAUUCCAUCACCUGCAUCCCUUGAAGCCUGAUAGUAUCUGUUGAACCCCCACUUCCAAUCACUGCCCAACCUUCCUCCCUAUCAUCCAUUUCAAGCAAAGCUGACAACUCUGCUAGUACAUAAUCACCACUUGGUGUCUUCCCUAGUCUGAGUUUAGACCUUAACAUACUCGCCAACCUAAGCCAGAAGAAUUGCACGUUUGUGAAGGAAAGUGGAUCACUGCGACUUGUUGCACCACUUCUUGCCAUUAUUUGCUUAACACGUUCACCCAAUUGACUAUUACCAACAUAUAUUGUUUCCAGCUGCAGACCUACUCGUUUGAGCUCAUUUAUCUUAUCAUUGAAUUGUUGGAUCCAAACCAAGUUUUCACUCCCAUAAAGGCAAAUACUUUUGCCUUGCUCAACCUGACACACGGUACAAUGUCAAAUCUAGUAACAUUACGUGAAAUCAAACUGUUAAAAUCUGCAUGAAAAUAUGCUAUAAUCAGACUCCUACCCAAUAAGCAAGGAGAGGAUUGAUCUCAUCCAGCAAAAGUUGCAUUGUCAAAUUUUGGUCUUGCCACAGCUCUUCCUCUUUGGAAGCUGAAAAAGGGUAAGCUUUGGCUCCCCAAAUGUUGAUCAUAUCAAGAGCAUUGUAAUUUGUGACCUUCCCUUUCGAAUCUAGAGCCACCAUGAUGGGCUCAUCCUUGUAGUUCCAUCUUUCCCUUAUGUACUUGACCACUGCUGGGCUAAGUAACCUUGGUUUCCGAACAGCAUGCCAAGGCAAGGAAUCUGACAAAAAAUUAAAACUACUUUCUUCAGCUUCAGUCCAUGAAUCAGAAGAUGGAAGGGGAAUCCACACAAUCUUAUAACUCUCCUUCAGCCUCUCAUUCAGAGGAUGAUCGCAUGUUUUCUGGACAAGUAAGAAUAUAUCCACUGGGCUGAGUAGCUGUGGUUUUGUGAUCAACAACAGAACUAUCUGGUUUUUCAGCUCAGACACACCUAACUGUUGAUAAAAGAGGAUUUACAUUAGAAGAUUGCUAAGGCUAGACAGAAUAUAUUAGCAAGUUGCAUUUUCAGAAAUAUUUUAACAAAUCUGAAACUAGCUAGAGCUAUUAACAUACUUCCGGAAAACAAACAAGAGUGCAUUGAAAAAUCCUACCAAUGUGUUAUUCAUUCAAAUCCCACCUAUGCGUAUAAUCUAAAUUUAAUAAUUCGUAUGUUCAAAAAAUGAGAAGUGUUCUCAUUACGUAUAUCCCAAUAUGCAUAGGGAGUUUCUUAUUUAAGAAAUACUACUCUCCUUUGCAUCAACUUGUCUUCUUUUGACUAAUAUGUAUAUGUAUUUAUAUAUUUAUAUGUAUGUGUGUGAUUGUAUAGUUUUCUUAGUUAAAGUCUCAACUUAAAUUAUAUGUUUGCCAAAAGUAUGUUAACACUCUAGAUUCACGAUUCUCUGGUAUAUCCUUUUAUUUGCUUCUAAUCCACUGAUGUUAGAUUUGUUCCUAAAAAUAUAAUUAUGUGGGCGUAAAUUUGCCUAUUUAUACCCACUUCAUUGUUAAGAAGAGUAUUAGCAAAUUAUAAUCUUUAUUUCCUCAUAAUACACCAAAAACUAUAGUUUACUAAAAUAAUCCUUCUAAAAGUAAGUGGUUGUGGUUAGGAUGAUGUGUUUCCCACCACAAUCGAAGAGCAUAAUACCUUUACUUCUGUUGAGCAAUCCUUCAGUGGCAAGUAAUUGUUUGAAGGAAAAAAUAAAGUGAGAAUCUUUUGAUUAUCAAUGUGCUCCUCACGAGCAAGAUCCGACAGCCUCUGAUACAAGUUUCUCUCUGAAACAUUAUAAAUCACUGAUCUUAGUACAUAAAUCAGAAUUGUUUAAUAAACCUGUCACUGUAAGCAUUAUUAUGAAGCUAAAAAGUAACCUAUUUCUUCGUAACACAGAUCCACCUGUCUUCUAAGAUUGCAGCCUGUGCCACUUAAUCUAUACGCCAAACUUGAAAGCUCCCAAGCAGCAAUUAUUGCUGAAUCUGAGUACCUGAAAUGUGUGGAUACCAAUACAUCAAAAUAUCAUCCUAGGCAAAAAACUUACGUGCUUUUCAAACUGUCAACAAUUCUGAGAGGCUAUUCAAAUAUAUAAAAAGAAUUAUGCAUGUUUGACAGUAUUGAUCUGAGCCUCAAAGAGAAGAAACAUGCACUUGCUCAUGUUGUUUGGUUGUGAAGUCCUUGACUUGGGAAAAACAUGCUAAACAGCUUCUGGCGACCCAGUACGCAGCUUCGUAUAUUUGAGACUUUGUGACACGGAAUAUACGAUUUCCAUGCUCUACAUGUUGAAGAGGCAAGUAUUCAAACUUAAUUAUACACAUAGCCACAUCCAUCAUGGUCUCAACCAACAAGCUCAAUGCCUUGAUUUGUAGCUUCAGUGGCUUUAAGUUGCAGGGAAGCCUCUUAAUACUUGAAAUUAAAGCUGCCAAACUGUUACCAUGAUGUAGCUGCAUAAGUUGCCAAAAUUCACCAUAUCUUACAGCAAAAGCAGCAAGCACUAGAACUACUUUUGCGUCCCAGCUAUACUUCCCUAUCAAAUCAAACAAAUUUAUGACCCUUGAGUUAAUAUCACCUUCACCAGAGCAUCUGCAGAGCAUCUGCCCACAAAAUAGAUAUGUUAAUCAUAAGUCUAACAGCAAAUGCAUGCACUCAGAUUGUCAAAACAACAAACAUGUAGAAUACCUUGCAUAUUUUUGUGAUGAUGAAUCCAACCGAUUCACUACAACCAAUCGUUUCUAUUUCAGUUAUAUCCGUCUUGUGAAAGGAAGCAGAAUAUAAAUUAGAAGUCACCUGAAACAAGCCAAUAGAAAUUAUAAUCUGAAAUCCUCAAUACAGGUAAUAUGUUUUCUAUGCCAAACUCAGUUUAAUGAAUUUCUUGUUAGCGAUAAUUUUAAAAAUGGUAUGAGAUUGCAUGAGUUUAUGGCUACAGCAUGAAGGGUGUAUCAAGGUGGACAAAAAUUACUAUUAUUUUGGAAGAAUGAAACAUAAUGUUGCCCACUGCAAGAAGAAUUGCCUCAGAAUCCAACCUACGACCAUCUGGAUCAUGUGUAAGGAGGAGCUUCUUUAUAAGAUUAUCACGUUGCAUGUUUCAAAUUGAGAAAGAAAAAAGGAACUCAAGGUUGAAACAAGGUUGAAAUGCACAACAUGAGCAUGCCACACUACAAAAUUUACGAGAUUCUGCUAUCAUUGGAUAAUUCUGUAGCUAUAUUUAUAUUCUUUUGAUCUGGGCAAAACAGAAAGAUGAUGGGAACAUCAAUGUGUAUAUUGAAGUAUUCUUAUUAUGUUUAUGCUAAUUUAUAUGUGAAGGAUCUUUCCAGACUGAGGAUAUACAACAACAACGAAACAUGAGUCCAAUUCACACAUCAGUAUUUACCCCACCUCCAACCAAAAACUUUAAGGAAUGUUUGUCUUCAUCCUUAUAUGAUAUUUAACUUUUAUAUUUUUUACUUAACGUGGGAUUUAGACUCACUUAGAUUUUCAAUAAUUAUCAAAGGAGAAUGUCUUCUUGCUUUUUCUUUCCUCUUUCACUUUAUUUAUUUUGGUAUUACAUUACUGCUUCAUGGAUUUGUGAAGUAACUAUGUCACUCAGCAUGCGAAUCAGGUAAUUGACAUUACAUGUCUAUCAUGGGGGCUAAAGUUUUUUCAAUACAAUCUGAGAUUAUAAAACUGGAUUAUAUAAUCAAAGAAACAUCUUUAUCAAAAGGCAAUAUCUUCUUUUCUCUUUCUAUACGAACUUCUGAAAAUAGUUAAAUCAAUGCAACUGUUGUUUUUGAAUUAGAGGGACAGGGGAGGAAGUAAAAUACUUUUUUUAUGCUUUUCUCUUGUCAUAAGGCAAGUAAAAGAGCUUUGUCUUCUUUCUGGAAAGAUUGAUUCUCAAUUUCUCACAUCACAACACACAAACUUCAUUCAUUCCUCAAAAGGCAUUGGUUCACAUCGUGGUGAUUUUGACAACUACUUGAUUUCUUGCUAAAUUUUUUAUUAUGUAACUUUCCAUAAAGCUCUUUAUUCUUCCAUCUUCAUUCAGAUCACUAUAAUCAAAUUCACCAAUACCAUCAACAGGUUUUGAAUUAAAAUGUACAUAAAAUAAGCAUUUUCUUUGUCAUUCAUUCCUCGAAAGGCAUUGACAGUGUAAAUAAACGUCAUAGCAUAUAAAUCUUUUGAAAGAGUGUGAUCUCGGUAAUUUGGAACUAAAAGUCUUUUAGAAUACUCAAUUUUUCACAACAAAAAGAGCAUUCCGAACACUUUUAUGUUGUUUAUGAUAAUCUUCUAGAAUUCUUUUGUGAAUGCUUAUAAGUUCGAUAGAUUUUGUAUAUUAAUAUAAAUAAGCAUUGCACUUGUGACUGUCAAACAAAAAGUUAAAAUCAUGUUUGUACAGUACAAAUUCUUCAAUAUGAAAUUGAACUUUACAAGGGCGACGUAUCUAUUCUUAUUAUACAUUUAAAAACUUUAUAUUUUUGAAAUUACAUGAGCAUGUUAAUUUUCCAUAUAUGACAUUGUCGAAAUAUUUUAGAACUCUAAAUAUAUUAAUUGCUUAAAUGAUGAUGUUCACUGUAUAAUUAUGGAUGUAUAUAAUUUUUAAUUAUAUUGCUAGAGAGAAAUUUGCAAUUUUAUUGUAUGCCAGUUAAGACGAGUUCUUCCUGAGCUUUUCUAGACCGACCUCUUCCAGUCGAGCUUUAACAUUGAGCUCCUCGAGGUCAAGCUCUCUUAGGUUGAGUUCUUUCAGCUGAGUUACAAAGCCAAACUCUCCUACACUAAACUCUAAGACUCGAUUAUUCUCGGGCUGAGCUCCUUUGACCGUCCAUUCUGGAUCAACGAGUUACAACACGGUUAGAUUAAACAACAUGACCAAGCGAUUAUAAAUUGGUCAACCAGUCACAACAUGGUCAGAUCAAUAAUAGUAAUGACAAAUCAACCACUUAAUGUAGAUUAAGGUAGAUUAAAUAUCAACAAAAAGGUAAAAGUUCAUAGCAAUCACUGUAUAUAAAGGUAUGAGAUAUGACUUUAAGAUAAUAUUCACUUAUUGCUGAUGGAGCGAUUAUUUACUAAUUUUAGCAUUAGAGUACUUUUUACAGAUACCAUCCGAGCGGAUUUUAGACAAUGAUGAAACUAAGUAGUUGACGAUCCAAAAUCUACUCAAUCUAUAACACAACUCGUUCAGUCUACGAUAACCACAAGUCUAGUUAAGAAUUUCACAAAACAAACAAUAAAGUUAUCCAUAACAAUUUUAGUCAUGAGUUCAAUUUUGUAUGCUUCUCUUGUUUGAUGUUUACUAUGUUAUCAUAAGAUCACUAUGAGUAAACUUAGUGGUUUGUUUUUUUAUCUUUUAGUGAUUAGAUGUUUGUUUUUUAGCGUUUCCAUUGAGCAUAAAUCAUUACAUUAAUAUACUUUCAUUCAAGUGUGUAAUAAGUAUUAGUGAUGUAUUAACCAUAAAUCAUUAUGGUCUUAUGAAGAAAGUAGAAGAUUAUAGGUUUGAGAAUCUAUUAAUGUUAAGUUUAAUGAAUUUGUUUAUUCUCUAGACUCUCACAUGAAUGUUUUGUCUUGCUUGUUUUAAUAUUUUUUUAUUCCUAAAUAUUGAAUAUGAAGACAUAUAUUAGUGUUUGAAGUACCUUAUGUUUGAUAUAUAUUCAAUAUGUAAAAUAUUUUAGUAUAAUAAAUAUCAUAUUAAUUCAAUAAUAAUUGUUUAUCAUAACUCUUGAACAUAAUUUCUUAUUAUAAUUUCAAUUGGUUAAAACACUUUAAUUUAAUAAUUAUUGUUUUGAGUAUUAAAUUUAUAAUCUAUAAAUUCAAAAAACUAUUGAUUUAUUUAUAAUUAAUUAUUAUAUUUGAAGUUUUAUGAUAUAAUUAUAUAUUUUUAAAGAUUUUUUUACUAUCUAGGAAUCUAGAUACAAUAAAAGAUUGUUAUUUAACCUUUUUAAUGAUAAACUAUGUACGAAUUUUUUAAAUAUAAUUUUGUAUAAAACCUCUCUUAUUUGAUGUUGGCUCGAAUAUUAUAAUUUAAGAAAAAAUCUAAUAUGAACAUUGUCACUUUCUAUUAUAAUUUAUAUGUAAUUUCUAAAUUCGAUCCAAAUACUCGUAAGACGUUUUCCAAGCCCUAAUCCCUACUCACCCAAAAUUUAGAAACGUGUCGUCUAUGUUGUUCAGUCGUCGGAGUAGCUUCCAAACCUCUAACGGUGUCGCCUCCGAACACAGCCGUUAUCGUUUCAAGUACCGGACAAACAAUGUAGAAUCUCUUUUCUUUUCAGUAAUCUUGGAAUUUCAAAUUCGGUGGUUUUGAUUCGUAACCAAGGAAAUUAAUUUCAAUUUGCUAUUGUAGGGGUGCUGUGAAAUUGAAUAUUCGUAAUUGUUCGCAGAGAGUGGAUGGCGUUGCCGCCGAGCCGGAACCUGAUUGGAGCUUUGACGAUCUUGUUUCGGAACUCAACGAUUUGGAGACGAAGCUCGCUAAUGCGACUUCUUCCGCCGAACGCUCUAUACCUUUCGAAAAAUCAAGAACUCGGUAUAUAUUUUCUCUCUUUCAACUUUUGGUUGUGGUUAUUGCGAAUUUGAACUGUGUUGACGGUUGAGGCGUGUCCAGUGGGAGAGAAAUCGAGAAAGGGAGACCUUUCAUAUUGCGAGCCGAUGAGUAUGAGAUGGAGGACUCGGAGAGCGAGGAUGAUGAUCACGUAGACAAGGCAUUGGUAGUAGCUGGCAGUGCCAAACGGUUCACUUGUGAUGAACUUUAUCUGAGGUGCUCAUUUCUUGAACUUUAGAUUUAUUCAAAUAUUUUGAAUAGGGAGAAAAAUUAGCUACAGUUACGUUAGCGCUGGUUCUUCAGUUAUCCGAUUAGAAUUGGGCCUGGCCUUCAUUCGUUAAUUUUCAUAAUAAAGAUUUACAUUAGGGAUUAUGCAGGUUAUGGAGGAGAAACCCUAAUUCUGAUUAGAGAAUAAUACAAAGAGUACCUAAGGAACUGUCAUUAAGUUAUAUCUGUUGAAUAAUGGAAAUGUCAACAUGGAUAUUUUUUUCUAGAAAAAUUGGGGUUGUCUUUAUAUUGGGUGUUUUGAGAGUAAUGUUUGCAUUUCCUUUGGCGUUUCAGUGACAGUGAUGACGAUUCGGACAUUGUUUCUGGUUUUGAAGUGCGACCUUGCUUGAUGGAUGAAUUGGGAGAGGUUGAAGGUGCCUUGUUUGAGUUGGCGCAGGAGCACCAGCUUAGGGUUAAGGUGAGGUAUGGUGUUGAUUGAUGUCAAUGCACUUGUUACCUGUUUGACUUAUCAGUUAAAAGUUGGAAUAAUUUGUCUGGUGGAUCACUGUAUAACUUGUGAUAAAUUGUGAAUCAACCUCAUGGUUUGUUUUGUUAUGUGGUUGACAGGAUGAAAUUAGGAAUAAGAUUUCGGCAUUGGAGACAGCUUUGGUGAAUGAAACUCAGAAUUCUGCUUCUUCUCUCCUUCGAGUUGAGAAAUAUAAAGAAACAAGGCAGGAAUUGGAUAAAAAGUUUGACACUCAAUAUCAGCGUAGGAUGUACGAUUUCAUUAUCUCCCCACCCCUCAUCUCUUCUUUCUAGGCAUUAUGAUUUUUCUUUCUUCUACGUAUCUGUCUUGACAGACUUUUUUAGUUUUCUAGUUUUCAAUGUAUUGUAUUUCUAGUUUUCUGUCAGAACUUUAAACAGUAGAUUGGUUUUACUAGUGUCUAUUUUUUCUAUUUGUUUGGAAUGGGGGCAUAAUGUGUUUUGCAUUUCUCUUUAAAAGAUAAGAUUAACCAUUUUGUGGGAGGAAGAUUGUUGAGAUCAAGGAAAAGGUAGAGAAGAUUAUAGAUGAAGAAGAAAACAUUAUGAAUUAUUGUUAAAAACUACAAACUGAUAACUUAUGUAGAAAUACAAAUACUAACUAACGUAACUAGCAAUAUCUCUUAACACCCUCCUCAAACUCGUGUCGGAGAAGUUGGUAACUAUAAGCUUGUCCCUUGACACUGCAAACUGCUUUCAUGAGAUAGGUUUGCUAAGGACUGUCCUGAACAAAGUAAAGAUCCAAUUCAAAAUGUUUGGCUCUUUAGUGCAAGCUAGGAUUAUCUGCUAACAAAUAAUUCUAACAUUUGUAAAUAAAGACGUAUCACUUUUAGCUGAGUGAAAACCCAUUUGAUGAGUCUAACUUGGUUUAUGGAAACAGGACCUAGGGGCUUGCUUUAGACAGUAGAUAGCUUUGUUUAAUCUGCACACUUCUCCUUAAUCACUUGAAGUGAAUUAUGGUGGCUGUAGCAUUUGAACUGUUCCUUCUAAAUUAACUUGUAAGAAAGCAUUGUUGAUGUCAACUUGAUGAAUGGGCCGAUUGAAAGAAAUUGCAAGAGUAAGAACAAUAUUGACAGUUGUUGGUUUGAUAAAUGACUGAAUGUUUCAGAGAAGUCAAAUCCUUCUGUUUGAUGAAAGCCUUAUGCUACUGAUCUGGCCCUGUGCCUUUGAAAACUUCCAUCUGCAUUGCACUUAGAUUUAAAAAUCCAUUUGCAUCCCAUGAGGUAAAUCUACAAGAGGCCAUGUGUUGUAAGACAUAUUAGCCUUCUACUCUAUUGCAUAGCUUUAGAUCACUCAGGUUUGUUUAAAGCCUCUUUUCCCGAGGUAGGCUCAAUUGUAGGAUCAUAUUAUCUAUUCAUAGCAGCAGCAUAGGUUUAAUAGGUUUGAAUAUACCAGCCUUAGCUCUUGUGGUCAUAGAAUGCCUAUUUGUUACAAUUUUCUCGAGAACACACAACAUAGGACCUGUAUGAAGCUGAGACACAUUAGGAACUGAAUAUUCAUUUGUAUCAUUUUCAUUCUGUAAUUCAGUACCAGAAACAGUAUCAUGUUGUUCACUCUCCAAUUUUUUUAGUGCAGAAGCACUUGAUAAUCACUUGACAGCUGUUCAACGGGACCGUGAACUCAAAUCACAAAUAGAAGAAAGGAAAAUAAGAAGUGAUGCAGCUUACGAAGAGGCCAAGAGAAAGGCUGCUUUUGAAAAGCUGCAGCAAGAAAAGGCUAGAGCUGAAGCAGAGGUACCAGAACCUUUAUAUUUUAGUUGAUUGUGCUUGUUAUUUGUCAAAUUGUUAUGCAUUUAUGUUUUUAAAUUGCAUUUGACAUGAAGCUGAAAACACCUGAUGAGGUUAGUCUGCAUAGGUCACAACCUUUUAUCUUAAUUUUUUUUAUAGAAAGUACAAACUUUGGCCCAAAUGCCCUUUCAUUAAUUACUUUCAAAUUUUGUGGGUGCAGGCCAAAGUUAGAGCUGCUGAGGAAGCAAAACGAGAAGCUGAGAGAAAAGCAGCAAUGGAAGCUAGAAAACAGGCAGCAAUUGAAGCUGAAAAAAAAGCAGUAAAGGAAGCCAGUGAAACUUCCAAAAGGGUUACUUCUGGAGGGACCCAACAAGCUGUUGGGGAUUCAACAGAUACAUCAAACCUAUCCAAUGCUGAAAACAAGGAAUAUGGUAUUAGUUUUCUUCUUUUACAUUUAUGAUAUCUUUCCAAUGCCACUGUUAGUUUAUGAUGUUUUCCUGUUUGUCAACAUCUAGUAUGCAAGAACGCUUGCCUUUGUUUCAGACCAUUAGACUAUUACUUAGUUGGAAAUUUGCUUUUUCUUGCCAUAUUUCUAUUCUAAAGAAAUUGGUUUUCUUCUUGUCAUAUCAGCAUUCUUUGGUGAGGCUACCUGCAUAAUCUGGUGUGAUUUACCUGUUUGAAUGUUUAGAUCUAUUAUCUAUGCAUUGUUAGUUUUUACAUGUUUUAUCAUCCAAGAAAUCAACUGACUUAAAACAAUCUUCAGGUAAUUUAUAUCGAGCUGCACCAAGUGCUUUGAAUCUAGAACAGGGGAGACUGCAGAAAUUCAAAGAGCUAUGUGAGAGAAACCAAAUGAUAAGAUCAAGUUCUAAUAAGGUAUUCUUGAAAGGACAUCUUGGGGAUAUUCAUCUCAAGGUUUUCUAACUUACAAGCAACGACAAUUUUUGUUGAUUUUUUUAUCAUAUAGUUCAAUAUUAUUCUAGAUAAUAUAAUGUAUAUUUUUAACAUUCUUAUAUUCACCUAUCUGAGGCUUGAAAUUUUUGCAGCACAAGAAAGUUGCUUCUGUCUAUCUCACUUUAUUGACUAACUAGCACACUUUGUGUCAACAUCUGUUCAGGAUUACACUCGGCACGAGGGUAAUAUUUCCCGGAAUAUAAGGCAAAUAAGGGGUGUAAGAGACAAUGUCAGGUAAAGUGAAUAUUUAAUUUUGCUAACGCAUACCUUUUUUUAUUAAUUUUUCAUGGUUUCUUGUACCAUCAAUUCUUUCUAAGGGGCAAAUUUUAUGUUCUAAUUGUUCCUGUUUCAAAACUGUUGAAGAAAUGUUUCAAUCUGUGCCUAAAAGUAACAAGAAUAUCUAAGAAAUGUAGACUGCUCAAGGAUUUUAUUUCCAAUAAAGGAAAUCCUUAUCCUUGAAUAGGAUAUUAUUAAUACGUGUCUGUUUACUCUUUUGAACAUUUUGUAGGUCAAAAGCCAGCGAACUGAUUAAACUUUUGAAUGAUCCUCAAUGUCCUCAAUCAGUCAGCGUUGAGAUAUUUGCUAAAAAGGUAAUUUGAUAUUAUUGAUCUUUACUGUUUCUUUCUUUCUGCUUUACCAGAACACAGACGGCAGUAAUAAUAGAUUAAUAUUGGAUUUAAAUGUUUUUACUCCUUAAAAUUGGAAGUAAAUCAUUUUUCAGUCUUUAGUAAAAUACGGUUUGAGUCCCUAAACACUAAAUUUGAGUGGCUAGAGUUUUAAAAAACCGUGGUCCUUCCAAUACUGUUUAAGAACUAAAAUUGUAGAUUUUUAACAUUUUAAGGGACUGAAAUAAACUUUUUUUGAAUGGGACCAAAAUCAGAAUUAUCCGAAAUGUCAAGAACUGGAAACAUAAUUAAGUUGAGCCUUAAUAUUAAAACUGGGUUCAGUUGUUUGUUUUAGAUGUGAACUUCUCAUCAAUUGACAGUUAAAAUACUACUGAUAAGUUAUGAUUACGCCCCCUUUUGCUUUGAAUCCUUACAAAAAAUUAUAUUUAAAUACGUUCUUUUGUUAUAUCUUUUCCAGCAGUAUCCUCAUAUAGAGUGACCUUUGUAUAGCUGAUUUAAGCCAACCGUACACCUUUCUUUUGGCACUUCAUCAUGAGCUUUUUCUAUGUUAAAAUUUAACCACAUGUUAGCCUAUUGCUUUUGCUUUGGAACCUAUCUAUCAAGACCGAUGGUUAAUGAUAAUCAAAUAAUGUGGCUAAAAUCCAUAUAAUUUGGCUUUAAAAUUCUCGAAAUGAGGGACACAUUAUUUCGAAAAAUGGGAAUUUGAUUACCUAUCUAUGGUUAUUACUAGACAAAGCUGCCAACUAACGACAUACUUCACAGGUUGUUUCGUACUGUGAAAACCCCGGUAAUGCUCCCUUUGCCAGUGCCUAUGUCAUCGUUCUUGUUACAUCUCAGGUACAACAUCCUUAAUCCCAGGCAUCCAGAGACGCACAGAAUGAAUACAUAUUUUUUAAAAUGCAAUUAUUUAUAUAGUUUUCAAUGAUUUAUCAUUUGCAAGGCAGAUUCCACACGCAAUGGAUAUUUUGCUUGCCGAGCUUCACAUGGCUUGCCUUUAUACCGUUCCAAAGCACCUGCUUUACAAGAAGGUACUUUCGUGUUGUACAGAUUGUGGUAUGGUUGUGUGAUUGAGGAAGCAAUGAAUUUUAUAUACUUGAACUUUCUUUAAAGUCAUUUUGAAGGUGGGGAAGUCUUUUUCUAAAUAAAAUUCGUUUGAUGGUCAUAUCACAUUUUAUCUUAAUAACAGGUCUGGCCCAAUUUUUCUGAGAUAAGCAAAACGGUCAUGCUUUAACUGGAACUGCUACAGUGUAGACAUUAGCUAUCCAACUUUUCUGAGCAACUACAUUCCAUAAAGAACGAUAAUUUACUUUAGGCAGAAACGAUAAUUGUGCAAUGUCGGAUAUAGAUAUAUGAAAAAUCUCUUUUAAUUCGUUCUUGUCAUUAUUCUUCGCUGCCUCGUAUUUCAACUAAAUUUAUUACAUUAAUCAUUAAUGGAGGGUAAUUAUGCAUUCUAAAAAAGGAUCACACGUAUUCUUCAAAUAUAAUCUAAAAAGUCGGGGUUGAAUCUGCAUUAUUGAUUUUGCUGUGGUCAGUCCGCCUUUCAAUCAAAGGAGGCAUACUUCAGAAGUAUUGGUUAUCGAGAAGUGGAUGGAAAGUUGGAGAGUACAGAAGAUUAUUUAAAGCGGUUAGAAUCAUACAUGAAGGUGUAUGGUGCACUGGUUCAGGUCUGUCAUAAAUAUCAAAUUUUUAGAUAUUUACAUUGACCAGAUUUCACUGAGAACUUGAUCGUGUUUAUUUGUUUCAACAGACUGAAACUACGAACGUUCAAAAUUUCCACGGCUUGCCAGAAGGUUGGGCGUGGCUUGCAAGGUUCUUGAACACACUCCCAGCAAAUCAUUACACAGCUGUUUCGCUCAAUGCAUUCUUGCAAGUAAGUAAUCUAGAAUUUUGAGGUACUUUUUACGUAUAAAUCUGUUGAGGUUAACAAAUUCUACUUUGUCAGAUGGCAGGAUUUGCUCUCUUUAAAAGAUAUAAAUCGCAAUUCUUAAAGAUGCUGAACGUCAUCUCUGAGAACUUUUUAGUUGAUUUGAAAUCAAGGAAUAUACCAGAAUUGACGAAGACGAUUACGGAGAUACAGACUUAUAUAGAAGAUAAGAAGUUCCUUCAAGAGCCAGAAGGAAAGAGCCUGCAGUCUAAUUUGUUAUCUAAUGUGUAUGUUAAUUAUUGAAGAUUGAAACUUUUUACUUCAAUAGAAACUAGGUUAGGGAAACCGGCGAUUGUUUUAAUUUAAAAGGUCAGGCAUUGCGCAAGGGUCAGCAAAGGCCACUCAGUAGUUGAGCAACUUUAAUGUAUUUUACUCUGAUAAACAAAGAAUAGUUCUUUUACCCUGAAAAUAGAAGGAUUCAUAGAUUAUUUGAACUGAUUUUAUGCGGAGUCCUUGUGUGAUUUGAAAAUUGUAUGAUAUAAGCAUAGGGGUAGACAAAAUAAAUUAUACUGAACUUUUAAAAUCUACAGUGAAUCCAAAAAGUAAUUUAUCUGAAAUGAAUGAUGAUGAUCUGAUCUGAACAAUUUAUUUUAUCAUGUUACACUCUAUUAUACUAUGAACUUCUGAUUAAUUUGCCCAUUGUACCAGUAGUUUAGGCUAAUUUUCGUCAUACAAAGAUAAUGUUACUAUGAAUUGUGUCAGAUGAUAAUAUGACAUAAUAUAAGGAUAUACCACCAUUUUUUAUAUUAAAAGAUAAAUAUGUGCUUAUUAUUAAAUAAUUUUACUGUUUUAAAACUAACGCAUAUCGCCAAUUACCAUGUUUUGUCUAUCAGGAUGACUUCUUUUUGCAAUGUAAUGUGCAUUUUUCUUCGAAAAUGAUGUACAGACUUAGAUGGAGAAUAUAAAAGAGAGAAUAGUUAAGUAAUAUGAUGUGAUCAUAAGGAAAAAGAAACAAAGUGAAAUAAGAUAUGAAUUGAAAUGUUCUCAAUUUGUUUCAAAAAACAAAUUUAUAGCUCAUACGAACAUAGUUUAAAUUUUUCCCCUCUUCAAUUAUAAAAGAAACCAAAGUAUUUAUAUGAUGAAUACUGUUUUGAACAAAGCAAGCAUUUUUUAGACGAGUAAUUUUAUUUAAAUACAGGAGGCCUUCACCACAAACAACUACAUAUAUACAACCAACAGGGAAGACCAAUUCUUUACGUAAAAAACUCUUCCUGAUCCUAACUGGGCAUACAAGUUUCGCCCAAAAUUGUGAGCUGAUGAACAAGAAACCAUCCAUUAAAAGAGCAAGACCAACUCUCUGCACAUUAUUUCGCAGUCCUGUUUAUGAAUCAAGUUAAAUUAAUGACUUAAAGCAUAUCAAUAGAACAUUCACUUUGUAACCUUCUAACUUUAUCAAACGGUUAUGGCUAACCUUAUUCCGGAAAAGAGCUAAAUUUCCGCUGAUAGCACUUCUAAAGCAAAGCUAACUAGUAAAGCCUUAUUUUGGUUUUGAUCGUGCUCCGGCAAAUGGGACAGAAUUGGAGGUAUUCUCCACACUCACAACAAGUCUGCAACAAGAAUAAAUGCGUUGGAGAAGGAAAAAACUUAAUAUUAUGCUUAGUCUUUUUAGUUCUUUGCAUACAGCCUUAAAUACAAUAAUGAAGAUGAAUCACCUGAUGCCCACAACCAAAGGCCAUAUCUUUCGCAUUGGUGAGGCAAAUCGCACAAAGCUUCAGCAAACAAAGUCAUGUUAUGUAAACCAUUACUCAAAGGGAUACAGAAAUGAAAAUUUGUCAUUAUGAUGGCACUAAAAGUAGAAAGAUAAAGUAUAUCUUAGUUUAAUAGGAAAGACGUUUAGCAUGGACUUAAGACCUUAUUAUCAUAUAAAGAACUUGCAGAUGCCUCCGUUUGAACACUGUUGUCAUAGCUAGUGUGUGUAGGUGCUCUCUGCUGAAAACUGUUUGACCUUGUCGAUUUUGUGCUGACGCUGGAAGAAGUCCUACCAUAAAGAGGUGGAGGCAGAGCAACCCUGUCUGGUGAAUGACCCCUCCUUGCACUAUUUGUAUCAAUGGAAACAUGUAAUUUUCAAAUUUAGUUAUGGUUAUUAACUUUACACCAGAAAACCCAACUUAAGAGGCUACUACAGAUACCAUUUUUAAUUUAAUGAAAUCAUAUUGAGUACCCCAAUAUGCCAAGCUCUAUGGUUGCCUUAUAUUGAGAAGGUAUCUCCAUCAAAGCUGAAAGGGCAAAAUCUGUCUCUUUUCUGCUUGAAUCUACAUUCCUUGUCAUUAUUUCAGUAAAAUUCACAAACUACAUGCAGCCAUAUAAAAUAUCACAUUUCAGUAUAACAGGAAGAAUUGAACAUGAAAAGUUAAAAAAUGACAAGUGAAUUACACCAAACCUGAAAAUUGUCAAAUGCUCGAGAAGGGAUGUUAUCAUCAAAUUCCCUCAUCAUAUCCCAUGGUCCAUCUCCAACUCCCACUAAAACUAUUGAUAGUGGAUACUCACUGCAAUUUAAGAGAAUAUAAGAAUGCAGAAUUGUACUCCGCAUGCCAGAAAACUAAAAUUUUACCUUGCUUUAACUAUUGCAUCUAUUGUGUUCUUCUCUUGUGGACUCAAGUUGCCAUUUUCUGUGUCAACGCUUCUAGUCACCUGUGAUAAGUACUGAGUAUCAGUUUUUGAAGCCCUAGAAGAGAGCAGAAACAAUGAAUACCUACAGCAUGUUAGCAUUUCCAAGCAAAACCAAAUGAAGCUGUGAUUGAAUGCUACAACUACAGCAUUGCAAUUUCUUCAUUUAUGGUAUGAAACUUAUGAUGACUGAUUCCCAAAAGCGCUUAAGUUCAGCUCAACAGUGAGAAUAUGAACUAGAGAAUUACCUGUCCAUCUGCAAUUAUCAGCAAGACAUGAUAUUGGCCACCACUUUGCUCAACAAUUGUCAUAGCCAUUUCAAUAAUAGGGGCAAAUGAUGUGGGUCCUGCCACAUGAAUGUGGUGAGUAAUGAUGAACCUAAUUAAGAAACUUCUAAGAUAUGAAUGCAAUACCUGCAAGUUUGAGGUAAGGAAUAAUUUGUCUGUAUCGUGAUAGAACUUCCUCAAAUCCAUUGCAGAACCUCUCUUCCGAAAAGAAACUAAAUACAUCUUGGUCAUGUGUAGACGCUGAGAGAAAAUAGACAAAGGAGAAACACAAAUUAUGUUUGCAACCUGGACAUUAGAAAAACUUCAUCGGAAAAGUAGUUAGUUUCCUGUCAGACAUUACCAUCUCCAAAUCCAAAACAAGGAAUCAAGUUAUCUUCAUCAAAAGCUGAUAGAGUUUUCCCAAUAAUAGAAAUUGCUUGCUCAUACGGGUUUUGGCCACUUCCAAUGUCAUGUAAACUUUUUCGAUUGAAUGACCUCUUCCCUGAUUUUCAGGGUAACAUAUAUAUUUAUUUAGCAUUAUAAACUCGUCACAAAAUAUUCAAAAAUAAAAUUGUGAGUACGAGAUAACACCUGUCCACUCAUUGCUCUUUGUGAAAUCAAUGCCAACAAUGAGAUUAGAAGAUUCCAGCCCAGCAUUUGCAAGUGCAGCAGUAACCUAUAUUCAUUACUUCAUUAUUAGACAAAAAUAUAGUGUAUUUUCUAUAUGUAGUUGUAGAACUUCUAUCAAUUUCAAGAGUAUUGCAGUUAUUGUUCCCUUAAUAUGAUGAACACUGACGGGUUUUACUUGACAGCUAAAGCACAGAUACAUGAUGAGAAAACAAGAAAGUAGCAGCAUCUCUUUAGCCACUUCUUUCAGCUGAUCUUGUUUGUUUAACUUCUAUUACAUGGGCUCCAAGUCAUCAACACAAAACCUUAAGGGUCAAUGUUUUUGGGUCUUUAUUUUUCUUUUUAUGUCACUAAAAUUUUUCAUUUCUACUCAAUAUUGGACUUUCAGCUCAUACUUGAAUUCUAAACAUUUUCUUUGAAGAAAUAAAUCUUCGGUAUAACAAAAAGGUACCUCUCAAGUUUAUUAUUAUACUAGAUCAGAUUGCUCGCGUAAUUAUUUAUUAAACUACUUAAGAGCUGUCAAAGGAGUCUAACUUAGGGUGUGUGAAUUGCUGUAAGCUUUCUAUUAUGUGUUUUAAAAGCUACUUAAGAUGAACCCAGAUUCCUGGCAGAGCAAUUAAAAACAUCUCCUUUUAGACAAGUAGAUGAAUUAGAUGGAUUCCCUUCCUUUUAUCUUAGUUUCUAAUUUUUGAACUGUACUAAAUCGCGUUCACAUUGGCAUCAGGGAUAUUCUUGUUUAACUUAAGUCAAUGUUGCAAGUUGCAACCCCCAAGAAGACAAGAGUCAAUUAUAAUGACAACAAGCAAAUCAAAGGAGAUGGAAUAAUUGCUGAUAAGAUAUAAAAAAAAUAAAAACACUCAAAAACACUGUUCCAUGCAAUGAUCAAAUCACCUCAUCCAAGGAACGGUAGUUAUCAGCUAUCUUUGAAUACUUCCUAUCCAACUUCCUUUUCGGCUGAGCAUUAUCAUAAAAUGGAGCUGAUGCCGAUGCAUGGUGGUGCCGAGGUGUUUGAUAAGAAGGAUAUGGUGAUUGUGGAGGGUAUCCACCAUAGUUAUUAUUAUCCCAUGAAGAUGAAGAAGCACCAUAAUCAUACCUCCUACCACCUCCUUUCGAACUCUUUCCCCCCAUAACAAACUCCUUCACAAUGAACACCAAGAUGCACAGAACACCAACCAAAACUGUCCAAGUCUCUAUCUGCAACUCCAAAACGCACACAUCAUGUUUGUAUAUAUAACUCUGUGAGGGAAUCAAACCAAAAUAACCAAAAGGGACAAAAGCUCACAACUCUGAACUCAGCAACCAAUAAAUUUCUGGGAAAGUGGAAAAAAAAAAACUUGAGGGUAUGCAAAAUUCAGCCCAAAAUUGAUGAACGAAAUUUCGAGGUCACAAACACCGACAGCAGACCAAGAAAGACAGUGAGACAAUUCGAUGUACCUCCGGAUUCAUUGUUUCAACAAGAACACCAAAUCAAUUAUGACAGAGAGAAGAAGAGUGCUGUAAUAAGGAAUCUAGCAAGGUCAAGUCAACUGUGUUCACCCCUUUCUUCCACUUCAAACAACUUCUUUAAGAUCAUUAGUCUCUGUUAUCAACUAUUAAAAAAUGAACCAUCUUAUUCUACAAAAACUAUCUAUAAUAAAAAUAUGGAAGAAAAGAAAAAAUAAUCAGACAUGUUUACAUUUAAUCCAUACAUACAAAUGUAAAAAUGUCAUAAAAUAUGGUUUAUGCAUAACUUGGUUGAAUUUUUCCUUCAUUUUAAAUGGUUCAUUUGGGGUUUCAUGGGAAAUUUCACAUUUAAUUGUUUGUGUCAUGUUGACCAGUAACCAAUCAUUCUACUUUUCUAUCAUUUCACAAAGUUGACACGAAAUGUUCUUAGUAUACUUAUCCAGAGAAAGAUGCACAUUGAAAAUUAUUUUUCUCUGCGGAUUCUUCCUCGUGAUAACAGGUGUUAUACUUUUUGCGUAAAAGUUGAAUUUCAUGUUUAAAUAAAAUUGAUUAUUUCAAAACCAUUUUUAGAACUGAUAUACCGUAAUUUAUACGUAAAAGAUCAGCAAUACCUCCAAUACACCCUCCUCCUUUGGAAAUAUAUGGUAAUCUUUUCAUCUAACAUAACGAAAGUAGUAAAAUUCACUUGUUUAUGACACUCCAUUUUUUACCUUUUUUAGAGUAUAAAUAGUUAUAAAUAAUUCAAGUAGUUAUUUAAAAGUAAUAUAUAUAUAUAUAUAUAUAUAUAUAUAUAUAUAUAUAUAUAUAUAUAUAUAUAUAUAUAUAUAUAUAUAUAUAUAUAAUUCACAAAUAAGAUACAAAAACAUGAUGAAACAAUUCAAACAGUUAAGCAUUUAACUCUCUCAACCUAAAUACAUUGAUUAAAAUUAAAACUUUUUAACUUACACUUUGAGCUCUGAAUCUCUCCCACGAGUUCCUCUCCAAAAGUGUUUUAAAAAAUCUUUCAAUUUUCUAAGACUCACUCUCCAAAUAACUGAAAAGUAUCCCAAUUCAUCUAUUUAUAAUGAAACUCUCAACCCAAAAAUUAAAUUAUCUCUUGUAAAAAUAAACCAUAAAAAGCGGUUUAAAUAUAUUGUUACAUUCAAAAAAUCUAAUUCAGUUAGUAUGUCCUCUUAUAAUUAUAUUAUUUUGUUAAAAUAAUUAAUUUAAUAUUUAACAAUAUUUAAUAUUUCUUUAAUUAAAUAAUUAUUAACCAAUUUUUUAAAAUUAUAUAAUGACAAAUCAUUUUACCUUUUAUUUAAAAUAUUUAACUAUGUUUAUAUAUUCUCAUAAUUAUUAUAAAUUCUAAGAUCUCCACAGUUUAAUUUUACAUUAACAACAAAAUUUCAUUUUCUUAAUAUGUAGAGAGAAAUAAACAAUAUGGUAAAACAAAAUUAAUAUUAAGUUACCUCAUUAGUUAAAAAAUUAAAAAAUAAAAACUCAAUUGACAAAUAACAAAAGUACUUAGUAAUCAAUUAAAAGUAUAUAAGUUUAUUAAAAAAAUUAAAAUUUAAUCAAACUGUUUAUAGUAUAUUGUUGGUGCUCCUUCCUCUAUAUAUAAUAAAUCUAAUAAUAGAGUCUCAAUUUCACACUUCGUAAGUUUUUCUUGUUUUUUUUUUUUCCUUUUUGACUUCUUCCUACAUAUUAGGUUUCGAGUUUGGUAAAGAUUUGUUUAAAUUUAGAAAAAUCCAUUAAAUAAUAUUAAAGAAAAAAAAUGUUUAAUUUUAGUCUAAGCUUUGGUUUGAUUACUCCUUGUAAAUGACAUUUUUACUUGGAAACUUUUACUAAAAGUGUGACAUUAUUUAAAGGAAGCUUUCAAAUUCAGUAACCAUAUUGAAAAAGUUGCAACCUUUAAUAAGUCAUUGUCAAAUGGCAAGUCUAGCAAUAACGAAAAAGAGGACAACCCCCACUAAUUUCAACUGCUCAAAACAACAUUUUUUUCAUAAAUUUAUAUUUUAAAGUUUAGAUAUGACAUCUUUUGAAUCAUUUAAUUUGAUUUAUAUUUAAAAAUAUAUAAUUAACAUAUAAUUAUGUAUUGAUAAUGAAAAACACUUUUAAGUGAUCAAAUUUUGUAUAAUGAGAUGUGGUAUUUAUAUUGAAAUAUAUUUGGUAUACAAAACAUACUUUAAUUAUUACUUUGUAUUUAAUAUUAUGGUUUACCUCUACAUAUAAUUAAGGUUUAGAUAUGUUUCGCAGAAUGUUAUUAUAGCACUUUGGAGGUUGCAAGAUUCUUAGCCUUUCCAUAUAUUUCUACCUGUAUUUAAUUUUUUGUCUUUGGAAUGGAGUAAUUUUAAAUGUAUAGUUUGGCAUAUAUAAUCUAAAAUGUUUUUAUUUUGUAUUCCAAAAUAUAUAAUUUAGAAUGUAAUUUUUUUAUUCCUAAAAACAUAAUCCAAAAUCUAAAAUACAUAUUUUAGAUUGUACAAUUUAAAACAAUGUAAAAUAUAUUUUUAAUGUUAUAUUCUGAAAUAAAAAUGAAAAAUAAAAAAACUAUAUUCUAAAUUAUAUAUCUCAAAAUAUAAAAUUUAUGGAAAUAUAAGUAUAAAUACGGAGAUACAGAAAGAAAUUACCUUACAAUCAUCGAAAUUUGUAUAUAUACAAGUUAUUUUUUCACUAGGUUAUAGUGAACAAACAUCUUUAAUGUUAGUCUUAACUGUUUCUUGGUCUUUUAAAUUAAAAAUACUUAAUUUCUCAACUUAGAAAAAUAUGUUUUUAAUGUUUAAGCAUUAAACUUCAGAAAUUAAAAGUGUAUUUAGUUCUUAAAUAUAUUAUAAUUUGAUAUUAUUUCUAGUUUAUGUGAACCUUUUAACAAUUUUGAUAUUGGAAGAGGAGAAAGAUGGGGGUGGUUGGAUAUUUGGUAAAGAUGAAAUAGUAAUAUUAAUGGUAUUGUAUAAUAAGAUUAUUAUGUAAUGUAAUUAUGUGACUAUGAAGAUAAUUCUGUGGCGGCUACUUUGGACAGGUCUUCUCAGUGGACCAGAUAUGUCUAAUGUUUACACGUUUCACUUUCCUUUCAAUGGUUCCCACUUAUUUUUUAUUAAAGAUUGUUCACAUUAGAUAGAAUCGUUGUUAAGAGAAAAACUUAAACUCAAGUUUUACAUUAAUAAUUGAAUUUAAAAUCUCUAACUAAACUCCUUGUAAAAGGAUAGCAUAAAAAAAAGGAGAUAAUUUGCACUCUAAUCUUAGUCCAUUUACCUCCACAGUCAGUGAUGACUCAUCUUAAUUUCAUGAUUUGAAUUGUGUCAUAUCAAUGUUAUAAGCAUAAGUAUGUGCAGAAGUUGAUUCUAUUUUCUAAUUGGAUUUCAUGAGGACUGCAAAAAACAACAUCCCAAAGAUGGACUAUAAGAAAAAAACUUCAAACGUUUUGCCUAUAAUAUGCUGAAAUCAGGACAUACAGCCAGCAUUGGUGAUGAUGGUUUCGGUAAGUUGUUCAUGUAUAUACCAAAAUUCUGCGGAAAGGUGACAUUGUGGGACAAGCUUGUUUCUUUAAAGACCAUUGUUGGACCUUAAAAAUGCCAUUGUUGGACCCAACGCACUACAUCUCAUAGCUCUAUGAGACCAUGACUUCGAGCUUGAGCUCUUUCCUCUGCUCCACCCAUCAUCCUGCGCAAGCUUCGCCUUUUUUGCUUCUAAUUCCUUGCUAAUUUCUUCCCAAACGUUUACUUCCCCAUUUUCUGUAAGCAAAUCCACAUUUGUUUUAAUGUUUCUAAGAAUCGCAAGUGUACAUUACCUUUAACAGGGAUAAGACCUUACCUUCCCCUUCUGUAUGGCAACUAACCGCGGUAGUUCGAUCACCCUUAAGUUUUUCAUUAGUUGCUUUUGUUGGAUUUACAAAUGCAUCACCAGAAACAACUGCAGUUUUCGAUUCAAAAUGGCCAUGCUUAACCAUUCGAACGUCAACAAGCGAUGCAUAAUCUAUCUGUAGAAAGAAAGCAGUCAUUUUCAAGCAAAUAAACAAUCAGCAUAUAGUUUUAUUUACCACGGCGGACAUAUUAACUUUCCCCCUAUAAUAUAAGCUACAACACAAAAAUAAAAUAAUUGGGAAAAAAAAUAAAGUAACUUUACCUCUAAAGAACCAUCCUCCCCAUAAGGGGAUGCAUCAGACUGUUCAAAAGAAGAUGAAUCCUUCUCUGUUUCUUUCUUAAAGUCAAAAGGAUAUUCUAAAACCAGUUCCAGCCAAAUCCUGUUUGUUUUAGAAUCAUACUGAGAUAUUUUCCCAACCUGCAAGGUCAUAAAUGAAAUACAUAUUAAAUUAAACCUCUGACACAAUAUUUUUUUGUAAUGUAAUUCAAAAGCAAACUUGACAUGUACCCUAAAGGAGGAAAGUUCAGGAGUGAAAGAUGCUGAUAACUCGAUCAAUCGAUAAGCAAUUACAUCGCCCUCCUACAGUGUAUGAUUAGGUUAUUAAAAAGCACCAAAUGAGUACCAUGCAAUGUAAUUUACAGAUUCAAAGCCCAAAAUACAGAUAAGUUGAAUGGUUAACCAGAAGCUGAAAGAACUCCUAACUCAGCCAUGGGUUAAUUGUCAACUACUCUAAGCAGAAUGAGAAUUGCCAUAAAUACACAUCAGUUAGGGAGAAUGAAAGAAAAACACCUUAGGCAAACCGGUAAAAGGUUGAAGCUUAUCAAAAUCUACUACAUUGAAAGUGGGUUCCUUUUCAGCAUUUUGAACUGUAGACUCUUGACUGGAAUGCCCGUAGCCAUCAUGUUUAUGGAAUGACAUUCUCUCUUUACCCCAUUUCUGGCCCUUCUUCUUGUUAGUGAUUCCAUUCCACUGAAAUGUUUCCUGAGAGGUCCAGAUCUCUAUCUUAUGCAAGGUUUUGACAAUAAUGCAAAUCUAACAUGGAAAUACAAUUGUGCACCAAAAAAUUUGAGUAGUUACUCAACAUGGUAAGUUCUAGAACUUCGAGCUAUUAACCUUUUAGUGAGAAUCAAUAUAUGGAUUACAUUACAUGGUUCAAAUGCCACAAUUUAUAACAAGUCACACUGAUUCCUCUAAAAUUUUCAAUCAAAAAAUAAUCCUAAAGAAUUUUGUUAGCUUCCUCCCACAUCUCUGAUAUCUAUCAGGCCUCUAAGAAAAGGCUGUUCAGUAAAUUUUGUACUUCCCAAUCAAAAGUCACUUCCAAGAGAAAUAUUCUUUAUCCUCCAUCAAACAUUAAAGUCUAAAAAGCCAGAAGUUCAAAUGCAAAUAUAAUAUGAUGCAUAGUACAUUUUUUUUGGCAUAAUUAACAAUAUCACUGAUUUAUUGACUAAUUUAUGAUUGAGGGUAAAACGCAGCUGAAAUUGUUAAUCUUUUAUUGAGGGAAAUCAAACCAACCACUGGAAACUGAUUCUGCGGUACUGCCUGAUCUUGAUCUGCAUUAAAUAGACCAUUGGACAUAUAUUAGAUCGUGAAAGCAAUUAAUUUCUACUUCAUAAAUCUUUGUAGAUGAGAUCUUCAUUCAGACCUUUCUUAAGGGGCUCAAACCGUAUGUGCCCUGGUCUAAUUUCCACAGGAACAAUGUCAUCAUCUUCACUCUCUUCGUCGGAUUGUUGAUGUUCAUCAGAUUGUUGAUGUUCAUCAGAUUGUUGAUGUUCCUCAGAUUGUUGAUGUACAUCAGAAGCAACACAGCUAUUAUCUUUGAUAGGUAAUACUUGUCCGUCUUUUUCAAGCACUGUAGUCUGGCGGAGCUGCCAAUUUGAGAAGAACAUUUCCUUUCAGAGAGAAUGGUAAUACAUUUUGUGAAUGGUAAGGCUAGACAAAUGACCUUCAAGACAACAGAUGAAUGUUUUCAACCCUUUCAAACUAUGUGGCCUAGGCAUCUUACUAACCAAAAAAAGUCGAUAACUCAACAAUAUAAAAAAGAGCUAGUGAAUCCAUAAGAACUGUUAUCCAGGUCAUGGGAAAUGGCAGCAAGACAACAAUUCAUUACAUAUCAUAUAGAGAAUGAUGUGCAAGAAAAUGGCAGAAACCACAUAACAGUUGAAAUAUAUAAUGCAUUUGCUAAAUGCAAAAAGAAUUCCCUAAAUUAACUCAAAACUUCAAUUAGCCAGAUCGAGAUUAGCCAGAGAUGACAAGAGGAUGGAAGAGAUGAACAAACAUCAAUGAAGGUGUUGAGUCUUUCCUUGAUCCUUAUGUCAUUACUACAAACAACGUCAUGAUUGAAAACCCUAGGAAUUCCAAAGCAAAAUAGCACUGCAAUAUAAACUAUUUAAGAACACUGUUCGUUAGAUCCAAUCUCAUAUAAAAGGUGAUAUCUUCAGCAUUAUAGAACCAAUUGACCUUUUCCUGUUUCUCCUUCUCUAGCUUCAGUUCCCUCAGCCAUCUUCUUUUAGCUUUCUUCCGUCGAGCACUUCUGCUAGGCAACUGAAAAAUAAAAAUAAAACCAAUAAAAGUAAAGUGUAAAUACUUGCAAGUGAUAUGAAAUGUCCACAAAGAUGAUUCCUAAUGCAUUGAGCACUCCCUAAUAUUCAAGGGCUAUAGUAUACCAUCUUGAACUAAUAAGAAAAACAUCAGGCUUUUAGUUAUCUUAGGACUAGAGUAUUUCUACCGACCAAAUACUCAAAUUGGUCCUCUAUACGCAUGGGAAAUCACAUUGGUCUGUCAAAUAAUUUUAGAUAUCAAUUUGGUCCUCUCUUGAUUAAUUGGUGUAUCUUCCGAUUCCCAUUUGAUUAUAUAGUCAAUUUUGUUCCAGCACUACUGAUUAAUACAAAAGAAUAACGGAAAGAAGAUCUCUGAACAAAAACGUAAUUGAAUUUAUUGUAUUGUUUUUUAUAAGUACAAUAGAAGGCAACUCUUUUUAAGAAAGUGAAAUUUAAACCUAAAUCAACCUUAUAAAACUAAUUUAGUAUGGUGAGGUUUGAACCCACCUAUAUGUAUAUUAUUAUUUGGUCAUAUCUCUAGUCGAUGUAGUAUCUCUAAUGACGAGUAUUAGUAUGUAUUCUUCAACCUCUAGUGCAAAGUUUGAGGCCUCUCUAAUCAAGCCACCAAACUAUUGCCUAAACCACUAAACCAGCACUUUUCUCAACCACAUUUUUAAGGUUGCUUGACUAUUACUGUGCCUUUGUAGCUUUGUUUGUGUGGUUUACUUUGUCUCCAUCUCAUCUCACCAUUUAUCUAGCUAGACGGGAGAAAUGAGGAUCUCUUCAGUGAUUAUGAUUUAAUUUGGAUGAUCUAUUUUAGAUGUCUAGUCUAGGUGUUCAUGUGUCAUGUUUUGUUCUGGAGUGAGCACUAGGCACUACUACAAUAUUAUAAGUUGUUUUGUUUGUCACUUAUGACAUGUAAGUUACGAGUUUUGUACAGGUUUAGUUAUUGAGUUUCUUAUGCUUAUUAAUCCAUAUCAUUAUAAAUUAAGGCUUUAUUAAAUAUAUAGUUUUACAUGGGUUCUUUUCUCUUAUUUAUGUUAUGCUAUCUGCAUCUACAUGAAUUUUAUAUAUCUUGUAGAAUCUUGUGCUUCAUGUUAUUAUCCCAAAAAUUACGAUGCAGCAUUCCCUUUCCAAGUCUAGGUAGAAUCUCAAGUUUAUCACCGUGGUUCAAUGCAAACAGGAUACAUAUGUGUAUUCAAAAGUGGUGUAAAUUAAGUGUUACCUUUUUAGUUCCACUUUCAUCUUGAGGCUGAAUAAACCUAUACAACAUAUCAAAGAAAAAUAAGGAAAAACAUAUUUCUGAUAUUCAGAAAACAGACAUCUCAUCAUAAGGGGACGGGGAUUUAAAAUUGGAUCACAAUAAUAAGAGGAACUGAAGAAUCAAACAAUCUAUAAAAUAACAAAAUAAAAUAAAAAGGAAUAUUGUUUUCUACACCACCAAACCCCGCCUCUUAAUCUGCAAAUAUAUAUAAACAAAAAAUAACUAAGAUAAAAGAUCACCAGACAUGCUCGCCAAAAAUUGUAAAUAAAAUUAUAUCAGCAGGUUGUCUUGCCCGAAAUACCAAAUAUGCAUGCACUGUGAAAUGAACAAUCAGAGAAGGAAAAGAUGCAUCGUUGACAUGUCAUACAAAUCACUAGUGAGAUGAAAAUGGACCUUGUUUCAUCACUUGGACAAUCACUUUUGUCAUUCUUUUGCUUAUCAAGGUUGCUUGGCCUAUUUAGCUUGCUAGAUAAAUUGGAAGACUUCUUCUUGUCCUUCUUGACAAAACUCAAUUGGUGAUGCAUACCACCUUCAUUUUCCUCUUCAUGGACUUCAGGAAUGACUGGCAAGUUUUCAGAAGUAGACAGCUUAAUCUUCUUCUGACUGAAUGUCAAAGAUAAUGGAAUAAAAUCAGCAACCCAGGUAACGUUUACAUGGUCCAAUAACUACUUUCAAAGUUCAAAAAAAGGAAAAAGAAAAAGGUUUCAGAGAGAAAAGGGAGAUCCCUACUUAAUCUUACACUAAAAACCAAAUGAAGUUAAAAUAGGAGCAAAAAGGAAAAAGAAAAAAGGUUUCAGAGAGAGAAGGGAGAUCCCUACUUAAUCUUACACUAAAACCAAAUGAAGUUAAAAUAGGAGCAGAAAUAUUAAUACAUAUAGUACUGUAAUAACAUGGAUAGAACAUAUUUAAGGAAGCAUUAAUACAAAAGUUACAUAAAACUAAUUCAGAUAAGUAGUUAGUUAGGAAUCCUAUGCUCACAUUACUGCAAACGGGAUUAAUUUUUGGUUCAGUGGAUUCCAUAGCAUUGUGAGCUAAGGAUGUUUAACCAUUGCCCAACCCAUCAGAUUUAAUUUUGUUUAGGUUCCGUAUUGAUGCUGAAAUAUGUUAUGUUGUAUCAAUCUUUUGCUCUUAUUCUAAGAGCAAAAAAAGAAAACAAAACUAGAUAGAUUCCAUAACAUUCAGAAAAGAAAAUACCCCUUAAAAAUGCUCGGGGGAAAAAAAUUAUCACAACUCUCUAAGCUUUGUAGCAGUAAGAAUAUGUGAGGACAGAACUAACCUAGGGCUCUUGAGCUUCCUUGAAGCUUUUCGUUUCUUAGAGGUUGCCUUCCCAUCUGAUUUAGAUUCUACAUAAACAGCAUUUUCGUCAUCGUCAUCCUCUUGGGACAUGGUUUCUUCUGCUCCAGACUCUUCUUGAAAACCCUCAUUUGAAAGAUCAUUUGGGAGUUCUAUAGCUAAAUGCCCACGAGAGGCAGGUGACAGCGUUGAAGGCAUUGAAGGUUCAUCAUCAGUCCGUGUGCUUCCUUUUCUUCUCACACUAGGAAGUAUAACAAGAGUAACAUCAUAGAAUGCGGUUGAAAAACACAGAAAUAAGUAUAAACUCACCAGAUGAUGUCCUUAUCCUUCAGAAUGCAAGUGGACUCAAAAGAUGGUAUAACAAAAUCAUCCAUCUACGUUAAAAUCCAAUAAGAAAACGGAAUCAGGUUAUCCAAGAAAAUUCAAUCGUCAAACAAAUAUACUCAACAACACCAAACAAAUCUUAUAGUGAAAUCGAGAUGUAAAAUAAAUUUGUUUCCAGAUUGCUGUACAUGUACGACGGAGCAUGCAUGUGCAAACAUACCAAGAGGAUGAUGCCGCGGGGACAGGUGCGGUGGAGACGGAAAGCUUUGUGCAGAUGAGAGGCAACAUCAGAAAUGGUGCUGUGUUGGGGUUUAAGCAGAAACCAACAACGCCUCAAUCCUUCCUUCUUCUUUGACUUGCUCAGUAUGCCUGGAUCCUCAAACACCACCCGAAGUCUCACCGUCUCCGUCAUCCCCUUCAAUGUGGCGCUGCUGACGCAGAUUCUCCGGUCACCGUGUUGGUAGCUUCUCUCCGGUCUGCUUCUUAAACCCUUGUUAACUAUGUGAAAACUUCACCCCCCUUAUAUAUAUAUUUUUUAAUUAUUUAAUUAUAAACACAAAUUUAGUUGUUUGUAAUUCAUUUUUAGUCCAUUUUAAAAUUAUAAAACUUGUUUGUCGUUAUGUGAAUUUCUCACUCUAAUCUUUGAUUAAUUAAAGAUAUUUGGUCUUAACAUAAUAGUGAUUGAAAUGGUAGCAGUGUUUUUAACAUACAAUUGGGAAUAUAGACAAUGGAUUGGUGAGGAUUAGACAAUCAAGUAAAUCGUAACUAUUAAUAAAUAUGAUAUUUUUUAUAGCUGUUUUUGUAAUUAAAAUUUUAACAUGUACUAUUAAAUUUAAAUUUAUUAUUAUAUUUUAAUUUUUACUUUAUUUAUAUUUUAUAAUUAUUUUCCAAAUUUAAAUAAUCAUGUUAAUAACAAUCAUUUAUCCAUUGUGUAAAGAUGUAACCAUUGAUAUUUUAGAAAUGAUAUUAGUUUAAAAAUAAUGUCAAAUUGUUUUAAUAUUAAAAUAUUUUAGAAUAAAUAGUUUUAAAGGAAUUUUAUAUUUUAAAAUGUAUUAACUUUUUAAAAAUUGUUUUUCUAAAUUUUUUUGACUACUUUUGAAAAGAUGUUGAUUCUUAUUGCGAAUUAUUUGAUUUGGAUUUUUGUGUAGGUUAAAUUUAAACAAUUUUUCUUUUUGUCUCUUUUGUUAUAUGUAUCUAAGUUUCUUUCACUUGUAUAAGUCCUUUUGAUGAUCCAUAUGAGUCUCAGUUAAUCAUUGAUCAUAUUGGUAUGUCUCAGUCGUUAUUGUGAUGGUAGAACAUCUUGCAAGUUGAAAGAAAUUUAGUUGGUUAUAGUCUUGUGAGCUUUAUGGGUUUUUGGAUUUCUUAAAGUAUAUUCACAUGUCUCACGAAUGAGGAAAGUUGAUUGCACUGAUUUUUAAGUGAUAAAUAUUUUAAAUUUUAAGAUUUUAUGUUAAAUUGACUAAAUGAUUGAUGUGAAUGAGAAGUGUGAUAUGUUGAAAUAUGAAAAUGUUGUUUGAUUUGUGUUUUGGAUAUAAUUAUUGAGAAGAUUGUGAAAUAUGAAUUUUUCAUGUUUUAACAUGUGUGAUUUGAAUGUUUGAUUAUAAGAUGUUUGGCUGAUUUAAACUUAAUUUUGUGUGAUUAGGAGAACUUAAAUGUGAACAAUUGUUCAAAUGGUACAAGUAAUGUUUAAAAUUGUUUUGAACAAUGAACUAAGAAAUGAAUAUCAUUUUGAUCAAUUUAAUAGGUUUAAGUCCUCUCAAAAGCACAAAAUACAAGUGUUGAUAUAUGAUAUAAGGUUGAGCGACACUAAGGUGACAUUAAACAUUUUAUUUUGUAAAUGAGAUAUUGUUAAAGAAUGUCACGAUGAUAUUGAGUGUCUGAUUUUGUGAAUAGUUUGACAUUGAGCGAACAUCAUAGUGUCGGUGAACAAACAUCAAGGUGUUGAUGAGCCUUCUUGUACUAAAGGUAUGAAACAUUUUAGUUCAAAAAGACAUUGGAUGGAAAAAAUGUGUAACAAAGCGUGAUUUUUUUUUUUUACCCUUUUAGAUAAUUUUAGCAUCAAACACCAGUUUUAAGUACUAGUUUUUAAGUUUUUUAUUUUAUUUUUCUUCGGUUGUUUGAAAUAAACAUGAUAGGGUACGAAAUGUAUGUUUAUUGUAUUAUUUAUCAACAUCUGAUUAUAUUAUAGUUAUAAUAUAAAAUUAUCUAUAAAAUAAAUAAGUCUAUUUAAAAAUUUAUAAAAAAAAUCAUAUUUGUUAUAUUUAUAAAAUAAAAAUAAUAAUACUUUUAUCAUAAAAAGGAUAAACCAUACGGGCUUCACAUAUUAUUAUAAUAAAAAAAGUUGAUACAUAACAUGUUUUUUCACUAAUGAUUGUUAUAAUCAUUGUUCAAUUAAAAAAAAUGAAAUUAAUCUAAAUAUAAUAAAAAUUCAUUUCAAGUCGUUAGUUUAUACAAGUUUAAAACUACUUAUUCCUAUAAAACAUGUUUAUUAAUAUUCAUCAAAUAACAUACUUUAAAUUAAACAACUAAUACAAUUUCAUGAUUAUUUGUAAUGUUACAUGAGAUCAUUUAUUGAUUCAUAACUUUUAAUGGUGUAACAUAACUCCCACCACAUAUUCAAUCAAAUGUGAAUUUAACAAAGCAAAUAAAACAUAUAUUACAGUUGUAUUACACAAAAAUAUUCAAUUUUGAAAAUAAUACUAAAUAAAAAACAAGUUAUUAAACUAAAAUAAAAGAUUUAAACCAUAAUAUAUGAAUAGAGUGAAAUUCAUUUGAGAUGAGUAAAGAAGAAACAAAAUGAAACUCUAGAAAAAGAUAUUGUUACAGACAGUUCAAAAAUUCUUCCAGUAUUUUCUGUCUCAACUUCUAGGGAACAUUCUUUCAAUAUUUUUUAAAAGUUAAUUAUUGUUUUUUAUAAGAUGUUUUUAAAACCCAAAUUUAAAAGGUCAACAAAUUAUUAUUAUUUUUCUUAAACUCGAAACGCCAUCAGUUUGUUUAGCAUUUAGAAUACGCGUAUAAUCAAAAUAAAACUGUAUGUAUAAUUUGUCUUUUUCUGCAAAAUACGCCAUUCUUUCAAAAUAGUAGUAUAUAAAUAAUUUGUAUAGUUUAAUAUAGAGGGAAAAUAUUUUCAAUUUUGGUAAAAUCCACUAACUUGUUUAUGAAUAUACAUUAUCUUCUUUCUCGUUCCUUCACUAUAUUUUUCGAGUUUCUUUCUUUUAUUUUUUUAUUUAUUUUCACCUGCUAUAUUUUCAAGACGUAAUGGAAAAUUGAGAUAUUUACCUUAAUUAUAAGUUCAAUGAAGAUUACGUAUAGAUGAAAAAAUAAUUUUCUUAGACAGGAGUUUUUUUCACAAAAAAAUGGGAACUUAUAUAGUUUCCUCCUUCAGCCGAAAAAAAUAAUAAAAGAUAGUGUCAAUUUUGUGUGUGUUAAAGAUUAUUCAUAAUAAUAAUAAUAAUAAUAAUAAUAAUAAUAAUAAUAAAAGAAAUGGUGGGAUCAUAAAUUUUUUGUAUUUUUUAAAAAAGAUAAAAAAAAUAAUGUUAAAAAGUUAUAAAAAAUUUGUAUGUUUGAAAAUAUCAUUUCUCUGGUAAUAAAUGGGGAAAAAAAUAGAAAGAAAUAGCGGAAAGAGGUGGAUCUGAAAUCACAUGGGAGUCAUCCACAACAAGAAAACGUUGCUUUCUCCUGCGUUGGUAAGAGAAGCGGAACAAGCACUUGUUACUGUUCUUAGUUUAGUUAUAGAGAGAGAGAAAGUGGAGAGAGAAAGUAGAGAGAGAGAGAGAACCAGAAAGAGAGAGAACUCACUCCAUUCCGAAUCGGAGCAUAGCGGAGCUCCGCCACUCCUCUUCCCUCGGCAGCCGAGCCUCCAAUUCUCCGAUGAAGCGUGACGCCGUUGCCGUCGCCGUCGGCGGCGGCGGCGAUUCCUCUCCACUCCUUCCCGACAGCCACCUCACCGACGACGACGAGCACGAUCGCCACUCGUCCAAGGAGCGCGACCGGCACGUCUGCUCCUUCUUGAACGACGACCCUAGGGUUUCGCCUCACAACUCCAGGAUCUCUCUGUUUUUCACCUUCCUUCUUCUACUCGUUGGUUUAGUUUCUGUAUUCACAAUCUUCCAUAAACUCGUGAGUCCUCUCUGCCCGCGUUUUAAGAUUUACUAAUAGUGUAUUGCAUCCAUUUUCGCCUUUGGUGUGUGGAAAACGAAAUUUCUCAUCUGUAAUUUCUACUGUUAUUUUGUUUAUCUGAAAUUGAAUUAAAUUACCCUGGAAUUUGUAUGUGGAGUCAACGCACUAUUCUUCUUUCAGUUUUGAUUUGUAUUGUUCGGCUAUAGAGUAACUUCAGUUAUGAGUAGCUGCACAAGUAAUGCGUGUAUUUUUUUUUUUUUCUCAUACAAUAGUUCUGCCGGUGCAGUCAUAUAUCUCACUCUUUUUGGCAAGUUCUUAUGAUCGAAUUCGUGUUCAAUUUAUUGUAGAAUGCCCCUUACCUGUGUAAAAAGGACGGCAUUGUUCUUCAUUGCCCACAUGUAAGUUCUCAUAAGGACCACCACUGCUUUGGUUUCCAUUUCAUUUCCUCCUUUUCUGUUGUUCAAUGACAAUGGUGUUAUUUUCUCUUCUCAUGUCCUCUUUGGUAUUAUUUCCAGGUCAAGGAAUCGCCAUCUCUUUGGGAAAAUCCUCUCUCAUCCACAACAUCUUGGAGGCCCUGUGCCGAGCGCCGGGAUGGCGUUUUAUCAGGUUUCAUGGUUUUCUAUGUUCAUUAAUAUAUUAAUAUAUUUAUUUAUUUCACAUCCCAUUAGCAUUGCAAGCCAUGCCAAGACAGGGUAUUAAGAAAUUCAGUAAUGACGAUAUCUCUUCAUUCAGAAGCUGUGAAAUUUUAGUAUAAUUUCCAUUUGUCAGUAGCAUCGAAUAAGGGCGGUCAUAAUUGGUCUCGCAAUCUGAUUUUUUUAAUGGAGUGAAUGGACCCGUUAAGAUUUUUUAUCACUCUCUUCAUCCUUUAUCAGAAAAAGGAAAACUCUGCCAAAUUCUUAAGUUAAUUUUUUAAGAACUUUUAACAAAUCAAUUGUUUCAUUUAUUUCUUAAUUUAAUAUUCCCCAUUCAUCUCUUAUAUCUUACUUGGAUUGGAAUACAUUCAUACUUUUGCUGUAUAUGUUGUUUCUAGUAUUACUGCUACUAUUCAUAGUACUUUUAUACUUCUAUGUAGAGCUUCCUCAUGAAAAUGAAACAAACGGCUAUAUAUUCAUCCAUGCUGAGGGUGGUCUAAAUCAGCAAAGGAUUGCGGUAUGAGAUAUGUUCUUUCAUUGUGAUAUUCUCUAUCUUAGAUUGUUUUCUUUUCCAGUAUUGCCCUUGCAUGUGACACUUCACUGUUUGCCUGUAUUUUCUUUCAUAGCCAUUGUUCUCUUGCUGACUGCCGCACCUGAGUUGGUGAAUUUCCUUCCAAUUGUAAAAUAUACGUGAACAUAAUGUUCUUUGAAUUGUCUGAUAUAAUUAGAACGUAGAAGAAUAACGUAAUAACAGUACACACACACACAUAUAUAGAAUCACCCAAAGGGACUGAUUUAUUUUGUUAAAGUGCCAUCUCAAUACAUUUCCAAUUUGGUGCACUAGCAAAUCGCAAUGCCAGUAAAUUUACUGUUUUAAAUUGGGUCUUCAUGCAAAAUGGUGCUGAUUUCACUUUCUUGUUUCUUACAUUGAAAUGACAGUCUGUGGAAUAUUUAAUAAAAUUAUCAUAUAAUAUUUAGCUGUGAGUGACUUACUUUCCAAAUCUUUUAAAAUGCAGAUAUGCAAUGCUGUGGCUGUAGCCAAAAUAAUGAAUGCCACUCUUAUUUUGCCUGUUUUGAAGCAGGAUCAAAUUUGGAAAGACCAAACGUGAGAUCUCUUGUCCAUUUUUUUUUUCACGUUGAAGAUAAGUUUAGUUAGGUUGAAUAAAUAAUUUGGUUCCUGCAGUUGAAACUUUCUUUGUGUUAAUCCUUACAUGAAAAGUUCUGCAUUUUGGUCUUCAUGAAAAAUCAUUUACACAUUUUAGACCUACUGUUUAUCCUCCUCUAUUAUGGUUUUAAUGGAAUCCUAAAUUGUCUAAUGAUGUUCUUACUUAGCAAAUUACAUUUGACAGAAAGUAAUAGUCAUGGUUAACAAUUCAUCUAUUAGUUAUCUUGCCUAGGGUGUUAGAUUUCAGAGACGGUCCUCCGUUCUAACCAUCAUGAUGCAUGUCACCAUUUCAGGAAAUUUGAAGACAUUUUUGAUGUGGAUCAUUUCAUUGACUACCUUAAGUAUGACGUUCGUAUUGUACGUGAUAUCCCACAAUGGUUUACUGAUAAAUCAGAGCUAUUUUCUAGCAUAAGGUAUGGUAGAUUCUGGUAUUUUUAUUACUCUGUUGAAAACUUAAAUCCCCAGUUGGCAUGAGAGAUGGGUAAAUAUUUCCUUUUUUUCCAGUAAUGUUUAAACAUGAAAUAAUAUGUCCUCGACCACUCUUUUUUAUUCUGUUUUUAUCAGUGUACUGAUUGACAACAGGUGUGGUUGAAGUGCUGGGUUUUGUGACCACUGACCAAAUAGCAUGAAAAUUAUGAGUUUGAAGUUAGAGAUUCGUGUGCAUUUCUAUUUCAGUCUUUUGAACUCUUAUGGCUGAUAAGAGACAGAUAAAUAUGUCAAGACCUAUAUAGCUUUUUGUUGGUUUUCUUUUUCUUUCAUAGACUAGCUAUGUUUUGGUUUUGAUGGAAUUGAUCGUUCUUGUGUCAAAUGAUAAUUAUGAAUUUAAAUUACUCGUGAGUUAAACAUGUCCUAAACGGGUGAUGAUUUUUUUUUUUUUUUGUAAAGGUGGUUUUAUGGCUAGAGAAUACACAAUGUUCAGUCUAUAUUUAUUCUUUCAAUCAUGUAACUUACAUAUUUCUCUUAGCUUUACCAUAUUGUUACCAAUGGUGUCAACCAAGAUGUUUCUGAUACUUGGUGUUUGCUAUUGAUGCCUUCUGUGGUUGAAUACACACUUGUGUUGACUAACAAAGCAAAUGUAUCUUCUCAUUCAGACGGACUGUAAAAAACAUUCCAAAAUAUGCACCAGCACAAUUUUACAUUGAUAAUGUUCUGCCCCGGAUCAAGGAGAAGAAGAUUAUGGCUCUUAAACCAUUUGUUGACAGGCUGGGGUAGGCCAAUGGUGAUAUAUGUUCUAUGCCUCUUUUUUGUAUGUAAUUGAUUGUGUCAUGAUUUUUCAGUUCUUGUUUCAGAUAUGACAAUGUUCCUCCUGAAAUCAACAAGCUGAGAUGUAGAGUUAAUUAUCAUGCACUGAAAUUUCUUCCUGAGAUAGAGCAGAUGGCUGAUUCACUGGCAUCAAGAAUGAGAAACCGAACUGGAAAUUCAAAUCCUUAUAUGUAUGUGAUAUUUGUGAUCACAACCCUGACUGAGUUAUGUGUGAUUUUUUCUAGUGUCCAAGUGAUUUAAGAAUUUUACUGUAAACAGGGCUUUGCAUCUCAGAUUUGAGAAAGGAAUGGUGGGACUAUCAUUCUGUGAUUUUGUGGGGACAAGAGAGGAGAAAGUCAAAAUGGCAGAGUAUAGAAAAAAGGAGUGGCCUCGACGGUACAAGGUGGCCAUCAUACUUUUUAUCAAACCAAAAGGAACUCUAAACCUUCUAUUGGAGCAUUUUGAUAACAUUGUAUUUGUUGAAAAAUGCAGAAUGGUUCCCAUCUGUGGCAAUUAGCUCUACAGAAGCGUAAGGAAGGACGAUGUCCUCUAGAGCCUGGAGAAGUGGCCGUUAUUCUUCGGGCUAUGGGCUAUCCUAAGGAAACUCAAAUUUACGUUGCUUCUGGACAGGUUUAUGGUGGACAGAACCGGAUGGCUCCACUAAGAAAUAUGUUCCCUAAUCUGGUAAGGCUUUCUUCACUUCCUUUCUCUUGUUCUGUUUGUUUUUGAUGAAAAUCACAAUCAUUAUUAUGUAGUGAAUGAAGUGAUGUCAUGACACGGAGUUCUAAUAUCGGUUAAGGCUAUCAAGCUGUCAAGCUAUUAUGAAAUGUUCUCUUGCUCUAUAGAAAUUUAUUUAUCCAUUAUAAUAUAGCAAAUAUAAGUCUGUUUGAACGAGGUUGUCCAUAAGUUUUUAGAGGAAAGGAAAAUAAGAAGAAAAAGUAAAUUUGACUUCAUCUUGUCAAAAUUCAUGUAAGAAUUCCUUAGAUUCUUCUGCAACGUGUUAAUAUUUUCCCUUCAACAGGUUACUAAGGAGGAGCUAGCAACCAAAGAGGAGUUAGAUGGUUUCAGAAAGCAUGUGACAAGCCUAGCAGCUCUUGACUUCUUAGUGUGCUUGAAGUCAGAUGUAUUCGUGAUGACCCAUGGAGGCAACUUUGCUAAGCUGAUUAUCGGCGCCCGUAGAUACAUGGGUCACCGUCUAAAGUCAAUUAAGCCUGACAAAGGGCUAAUGUCAAAGUCUUUUGGGGAUCCGUACAUGGGUUGGGCUACUUUUGUAGAAGAUGUUGUUGUUACUCACCAGACGCGAACGGGAUUGCCGGAAGAGACUUUCCCUAACUAUGAUCUCUGGGAGAACCCUCUGACUCCAUGCAUGUGUAGAGCCUGAUUAGAGCAAUUUUAUCAACGACACUGGGACUUUAUCAAGAUGCAAUUGGGAGAAAUACGCCGUUUAAGUUAUGAAUUCUAUCUAUCUCCAGGGUAAACGUCGGAAUGCAGGCUCCUAGGCUCCUGUUCAAUAUAAGCUUUUGAGGUAGGAGGGGCAGUAAAUAGAAAUUUGAAGCAGAGAUAAUGGCUUGAAGGGAAUGAGAUUGGACUGUUGGUUAUCAUUUUCAUGAACAGAUUUCCUAUUCUGAGUAUUCUCUUUGCCGAGAUACCGGGUGGAUUUUGUCUUUUCAUCUAACAUGUAGCCAUUCCCUGAUCACUUUUAUUCUUCCAGGAAAAAAUGAUUAUUUUUUGUACUAAGAAAAUUGUGCAAAUCAUUAAUGACUUACAUGCUAGGUUUCUGUGAUUUUACGAUGCAUUGGCAGUAAAAUGUGAGGGUCAGGAUGAUAAAGGCUUUCAUUAUUACGUAGAGGAUUUGGCUCCUUAAAAGGGCCGAGUGUAAUUAAAGAUGCUGUUGAAAUUUUGAACCUUUUAUUUUCUAAAUAAUUGAUUAUUAUUUACGCUUCAUCUUUUAAUAGAGGAGCUAAAAAGUAUGAAGUAUGUUCAGUCACGAGAAAACUUAUGGAUCGGAUCAUUCAAUCGCUUAUGAAGAAAAAUGGUGUUUUAUUCAGGACCUAAAUGUUAACGUGAGCAGGCGAUAGCCAUUGCAGGUUAUUGUAAUGAUAGUAGGUCAAUAGAGGCGUUUUCUGAAGCCAGUGGUUGGAAUCGUGAAAACUCGAAAUGGUUAUGUGAUGUUUAUCUGAUUAUGAAGAAGAGAGCGGAACCAUGCCAAAAUUAAGGGUUGUUUCUGAAUGUUCUUUGCUGGGCAAGGAACCUGCGAAAAUAUCAUGUUCCCACAACUUAGUAAACGUGAGGCCAUACAUGCAUUAGUUUUACAACUCAACACGUCUUUUCUUUAUCUUUAUCUUCAUCUUAACCCUUUUACUUCUUCAGUUUAACAGUAUUACUCACAAAAUUUAAACAUCAAAGAAAGAAUCUUUAAUAUAUCCUGUCAAUAAUUAUUUAAAAUGUUAAAUAUUUUUGUUUUAUUUUCAGGUACAGAUUUUACUAACAAUUGUUAAUUUUCAAUGAAAAUGUUAAAGACAUCAUUAAUAGUCUCGAAGUCCCAACUGACGAACUAAAAUAGUGGAUAUUUCUGUUGGCAUAUAAACUCCGUUGAACUCUGACGCAACAGUGCACCGGAUAAAGCAAUCAUGAAGUGCUUCUCCUCAUCCUCCGUCUCUCUCUUUAUUUUCCUUUGUCUAUGUUUUGAGAGGUAUAUUAGCACGGCCUCAUCUUACUCGUUUCCGAUAGUUUAGUAGAUUGCGUGUUUCACUUACAUGCAUCUAAGUCUGAUCAGCAAUCGCUUUGCUCGUCUCAUGGUUUCUCGUUGAUUGCAAAAUUUUAUUUAUUACCCAUAAAGUUUUGCGCUGUUUCUUAAAAGGCUGUUCUCGUGAGUUGCUUUUAAAGUUCAAUUAUAGCAUUUCAUCAUCGCAUAUCUCUAUGAAAAUAUUUAAAUCAGCGUCUCAAUUUCACUUGGGCCCUGGGCACUUUUCCUGCAUUGAAAUCAACCCAGAUUCCAGCAUUUAUAUUGAUUGCCAUAAAUAGUUUAUUGAAUUGUUAUAAACAAGCUUCAAUUUGGAACUGUGUGUGGAAUAAGUUUUAAAUUUAUUAGCAAGCUUCAAUUUUUUUUCUAAUUGCAGAAAGUGGUAAUAAUGACUGGACUAGAUUGAAUCCUAAUUUGCACAACAACGUCCUAGUGCAAGCUUUCUGGAUGCCUUAAUCUUUGUGCCCUUGUUCUGUUAUAUCUAAUAUUGUCAUUUCAGUGUGUGGUCUCAAAAUGUGUCGGAGAGUGAUCGACAGAAAGCUAGCAUUCCACCAAGAGGUUGGAACUCCUAUGAUUCCUUUUCCUGGACAAUAUCUGAAGAAGAAUUCUUGCAGAGUGCUGAAGUAGUUUCUCAGCGUCUCCAUGAUCAUGGAUAUGAGGUAUAGUUUCUGUGAGGAAUUAUAGCCUGUGAAUGAGUUUGAAUAUGCUAGUAGUUUUUCCCUCAUAUAUAGAUAUAAUAACUUGCCUUCAAACCAUUGUAGUACGUUGUGGUGGAUUACCUCUGGUAUAGAAGGAAAGUUGAGGGUGCUUAUCAUGAUUCUCUUGGAUUUGAUGUGAUUGAUGAAUGGGGGAGGAUGCUUCCUGAUCCAGGAAGGUGGCCUUCUUCUGGAAAUGGGAAAGGAUUUUCUGAAGUAGCUAAUCGAGUACAUGACAUGGGUUUGAAAUUUGGGAUUCAUGUCAUGAGAGGGAUAAGUACACAAGCUGUGAACACAAACACCCCUAUCCUUGAUACAAAAACGGUAUUGCUUUGCAUUUGUGCCAUAAUUUAACUCUAUUUCUUUCUCGUUUUUUUAAGGAAAGAAAUCAGUCGUAUGAAUGUCCCAUUGAAUGCAUUUUAUCUGCAAUAGGGCAUUACAAAGCAGAAGCUAAGGAUGUUGUCUACAUUAAUCUAAAGUUUAACUUUGAUAUCUUUCAAUUUCUUAGGGAGCUGCUUAUCAAGAAUCUGGUCGAGUGUGGUAUGCAAAAGACAUAGCAGUCCCAGAAAGGGCUUGUGCAUGGAUGCCUCAUGGUUUCAUGAGUGUGAAUACAAAGUUGGGAGCAGGAAAAGCUUUUCUGAGAUCCCUAUACGAGCAGUAUGCUUCAUGGGAUGUUGAUUUUGGUAAUUGGACUAUUAUUUUACAUUCUAUUUUUAUAAUGCUCUAUCACAACAGAUUCAUGUCAUCGAGAGAAAUCUUAAUGACUUCCAUAGUUUUAUUGCAUCUGACCAAUAAGUUUGGAUAAGUAAAGAAAGCAUUUGUAUUUAUUUCUGGUACAGUAAUUGUAUAUUUUUUUUUCGUUAAGAUCAUUGUUGAGACUUCAUUAGGUCGGCUAGGUGUUUAAUGGUCUCAUAAACUUGACUUAAAAGUUUCAUAUCUUAUCAUAUCGCUGUAGAUUGCCUAUGUGUUCAUACUUUAAUUCAGGGGUUAUGCUAAACCAACAGAAAGUACUCAAAACUAUAUCAUGUAAUUCAGAGGUUAUGUCUUUCAUUGACGGCUAUUUUAACAGCUUUUCUACUUUCCACGCAGUGAAACAUGACUGUGUAUUCGGGGAUGACUUUGAUUUAAAUGAAAUAACCUAUGUUUCUGAGGUAUUCUGGAGUUCUCCUGUCCUCCUACCUUCCAUUCCCCUUAUUCUCAUCUGAAAACCGAUAUUGGUAAUAUCAUGGAAGAUCUUUUGGAAGCUACUAAUUACUUGUCAUUUCAUCUAGGUUCUCAAGCAGUUUGAUCGCCCCAUUGUAUAUUCUUUGUCUCCUGGAACUAGUGUGACACCAGCCAUGGCCAAGGAUGUCCUUGGAAUGGUCAAUAUGUAUCGUGUAACAGGAGAUGACUGGGAUACAUGGGGGGAUGUCAAAUCACAUUUUGAUAUUGCCAGGUGGUUACAUUGUUAUAUUUUAGUUCUGACACAUUUCUAUCUGCCUUUAGAGUACCUCGAUAAUAUUUUAUUUCUGAAUCCCUGGUCUGUUAUUCCAUCAUUAUAUCAUAUAACUUUAGUUAUUUGAUUCUAUCAGGGAUUUCUCAAAUGCUAAUAUGAUAGGAGCAAAAGGUUUAACGGGGAAAUCUUGGCCUGAUUUGGAUAUGCUACCCUUUGGAUGGCUAACUGAUCCUGGUAAUGAGGCCGGGCUGCUACUUUUUCUCUGUCGUGUAUUAAUAUGAUAACCCUUGUACUUUUAAUCAGUUAGCUACCAACAAUGUGAUUAUGGACAGAAUUACUUCUGUUUUCAGUAAUCAUUUAUCCUUCCUCUAUCUUCUGCCCUUUUUGUUGUUUUAAGCAAAUAACUUUUAUGUGAAACCAGAAUCCGGUGGCAUUGUAAGCAUUUGUCUGCAUAUAGAUUUACUCUUCUAUGAAGAGGACAUUGCUGGUUCACUGAAACUGUUAGAUUAGUAAACCCAAGAUACUCAGCAGUCUCGUCGUGGAAAAUUGCCACAAGCUGUUUAAAUUUAGACUCACGGGAAAAAUGGAUUAUGAUACUGCAUUUUCACUUUUUCUUUGUUUUUGGAAGGUUCAAAUGAAGGUCCACAUAGGUUUAGUCGUCUCAAUCUGGAAGAAAAGAAGACACAGGUAUUUCUACAAGCACAGCUACGUUUUUUUCUGAUAUAUUCCUGUGCUAACUUUAAUUUGCUUAUAACUGUAUAUCCAUUAUCAAUAUAGAGUGAGUGAAUGUCUUUCUACCCUGUAGAUGACUCUUUGGUCUAUGGCAAAGUCUCCCCUUAUGUAUGGUGGGGAUGUUCGGAAGAUUGAUCCUAGUACAUAUGAUAUUAUCACAAAUCCCACCCUUCUCGAGAUUAAUUCUUUUAGCUCAAAUAAUAUGGAGGUAUGUGAGCCAUCUAAAUAUUUUGGUGUAAUAAUAUUUUGAUCAAAUUAGUAUCAUAUUUACUUUGCCGCAUUGGCAGUUUCCUUAUAUCACAACUGUGAAGAGUGAAGAUCAGGAUCUUAGUUUGAGAAGAAGUGGCAAAGAAAUAAAAACAACUUUCACCCAUUCAUUAGGCCUCACAAAGUGCACCGAGUCAAAGGCAAUAGGUUGGGCUAGUGAAAGGCUUAACCUAUAUCUUGAAAGAAUAUGUUGGAAAAGGAGUUUAGGAAACAAGCAUCUUGCCCCCUUCUGUGUGCUCAAAAGAGAACUCUACUUCCCAUUGUAAUCUUGCUUAUCUUUCUAUGUUCCAUUUUUCCUAAUUCUGGUAUGAAUAAUAAUGUUGUUAACAACAGAAAUUGGUACUUGGAUACUGAUACAGAGAUGAAGUGAGUAUGUAUCAAGAGUAUCAUCAUGGCAAACAUCAUUUAGUUGCAACAAACAGAUUAAAGUUUUGCUUGGAUGCUUCUCCAAAACGCAAGCUCACCUCUAAAGAGUUCAAGAGAGGGACAUUUUCUCCCUGCAGGUGGGAUUCAAAUCAGGUAUGUUUAAUCUAUCUUUAGGUUUUGCAAGGGUGCAUGUUACCCCAGUUUGUAGUUUUUGCAAUUUUGUUUGAGUUUUAUACAAUUCAAAGAUAGUCUUGCUUGUGCAGCACACUGCUUCUCUUCCAAUCUUAAUAUUAACUUUCGCAUGUAUUUUACAUGAAAUAACAUUUAGAUAUGCAUCUUUACAUAUAUAUAUUUUGUGUAUUUUGUUAUAAACUGAUUUUUGAGUCAUUCACAGAUGUGGGAAUUGAAUCCUAAUGGGACCCUGGUCAAUAGUUAUUCUGGCUUGUGUGCAACAGUAGAGUCCAGCGAAGGUGAAAAUUUGCAAAUACACUUUCCAGAAUGAUGUUUGAUUCAUGCAGUUGUAGAGUUUAUCUUGUUUUUUGUUCAUUUUUACAGAUACUAUUAAUUCCGGUGGCUUGCGCUCUUGGAUUGCUACAGGAAGAAAAGGUCUGUUAACAAAAACUACAGCUAAAUUUUGAUUGUUUUGUUUCUGCACUUAAUCCAAUCCAAAAAACUGCAUUAGUGUAUAUUUUGCAGACACUGGUUGAGGUUGAACUAGUAGCAUGUCACAUUAAAGAAUUCGUUGGAGUUAUUCUGUUCUAACUCUUACAUUUGUAUCUCUGUGUAGGAGAAAUCUAUAUUGCUUUGUUCAAUCUAAGUGAACAGAAGACAGUAAUGUCUGCACAGGCAUCUGACCUGGCUAAGUUUCUUCCUGCCAGAGACUUCAGAGACUUCAGUUCUUGUGAGGGCAGUGAAGUGUGGAGUGGAAAUGCUGUAGAAAUAACACAAGGGAGGCUAUCAACAGCAGUGGAAAUGCAUGGAAGUGCACUAAUUGUUCUGAAAUGCAGCUAAAGAAGAAGAAGAGAAAUGAUUCUUUGACACACCUAAAUUUUUUACAUUCAUUUGACACUAUACUUACUUAUUUUUUACUCUCUUCUUUCUUGAAAAAUUACAAAACUUUACAUUUUUUGGACCAUUUUAUCCUUAUAUUCUGUGUCAAAUGAAUGUAAAAGUCAAAGAAGAAAAAAGACAUUUCCUUUUUCUUUUUCUAUAUGGACAGAUGAAAUUCAAUGACAUCAUUCACCUAUUGAAGAAGGAUAGCAUGAUACAUUGACAUUCAUUUGACAUAUUUAACAAGGAUAAAAUAGUUUUAAAGUGAACUUUUAAAGUAAGUAUAUUAUGAUACACAUUGACAUUCAUUUGACAGACUUAACAAGGGUAAAAUUAUCUUAAAAAAGUGAAUUUUUGUAGUUUUUCAAAAAAGAAGAAAGUAAAAAGUAAAAAAAGAUAGUAUCAAAUAAAAGUAAAAAAAUUAGAGUUUGAUACAUUAACACGCCUAUAUGACAAUGACACAAAUUUGUCAAGUUUUUCUCCCAAAAUUAAUCUUUUACUUUCAAUAAAUAUUGGAAAAUGUGGGAUUCACCGUGUUAUUUAAGUGUAAAAGAAAAAAAGUCAUAUCAAAGUAUCAUUUUAUUAAAAAUUAUGUAUGUCAAAAUAUCAUUUUUCAAAUUUUUAUAGUUUUUUGAAAAAAAAAGUAAAAAAAGGAUAAUAUUAAAUGUAAAAGAAUUAUGUGUGUGUAAAAGUAUAUUUUUCUUCAUCUAUUAAGGGUAUUGGAACAAUUUUCGAAGAACUUAAAGAAACAAUUUUUUAACAUUGGCAAAGGCGUAUAAUUAAGUAUACAAUUAUAAGCUUAAAUCAUAAAUCCUAAACAACAAUCGUCCUAAAAAAUGGCAAAAUAUUAGCGAGUGUUUAAAAUCAAGUUGAUUAAAAACAUUACAGUGGAUCAAAAUUAAUUGUUUCUGAAUUUUUUGAAUCCACUCGGUUCUAAAUCCAAACGUUUAACUUUUCUUUUAUUGAAAUUCAAUAACAGGAUUAAAUCAAAUUAAAUCAUUUGUCAUAUUUAAACGGGUGUUGCUCCCUCCACCUCUUCAGGCAUAUCCUACACCUCCUCCUUAUUUCUUUUAUUUCAAAAACAUCUUAAUUAAUUUAAUUUUUACUAUUUAAUUUUUUAUCUUUUUUAAAACCCUAAAUUUCUCUACACCCACUCAUUUUCUCGUUCUCUGCACACAGAACCCUACUCCUCCCUAACUAGUUUCUCUCUUCCUCUCAUCUUCACGCAGAACCAUACAAACACCACCAUUCUUCUAAUCUUCCAUUUUCUAAACCAUCUUUAACACUCUCUAACCUAUCAAAACCCUAAAACUAUACCUAAUACAUCCUCUUUCACGUGUGCCUUCUUCAAUCAAGGAUCAAACAUUAUGUUUAUUGAAUAGUAGCAUUUCAAAGGACCAUGCAUCUCAUAAUCAUAUAUAGCCACCCCCUCUACUGUGUCUAGCAGUAUACACCACAUCACCAUGAUUGAACCAAUAAUAGUUUUUCAUAAUGGAAAAUACUCCCAACAACAAAAAAAAAAAAAAAAAAAACACUUUCUGCAGCCACUAUCCAAUCUUCUGCUUCCACCACUCCUCAAUUUAAUUACUUUUCACACUUUGCAGAUUAAUUAUAUCACACCUUGUUUAUUCCUUUCUUUACUUCAUAAUCUACACUUUAUAAAAGUUGCCCAACAAUUGCGUGAGUGCAUGUAAAAGUUUUAACUCUAAAUUCAUCGGAUAUCAAUAUUCGUUUUAGCUUUAGUUAAUUAAAAAUUAAUGUAUGUGUAAGGUUCUUUAUUAAAAUAUAUUUAUACUUACUAAAGAAACAUAACCAUUGUAUUGCAAAUUAUAAAAUUGUGUAAGUUUUUUAUAAACAUAGCCAACUAAAAUAUAAAUACAACAACAAAUAAAAAUAGUUUAGAAAAUUAUUUUUUAUUUAAUACUUUUUUGUUAUAAAAAUGUUAAAUAAUUUUUUAAAAAGAUGUUUAACCAUUAAUAUUGAUUCAAUCUCACUUGAUUUAGUUUGAUUCGAAGUUUAUAUUGAAUUCAAAUCAAAUUAUAUAUAAUUUUGUAUUUGGUUUAAAUAAUUAUUUAAUUAAAAAUUAAAUCAAACUAAACUAUAGACAUUUUCAUGCAUUAGUAUAUAUUAUAGGUUUAGGUGUAAUUUUAAUUUCUUUGGUUUCUUCUGUGAUUAAAUUUUGUUAUAAUUCAUGUAUAUUUAUUUUUCACAGUCUAAACUUUUGCAAAUUGAAUUGAAUAUUAUUAUUUAAAACUUUUCUAUUUAAAACCCAGUGAUUAAAAUCAUUAAAUUUGACUUAAAAGGAAAAUAUAAAGCAACCUUCUCACAUUUAAACGCAUUUGACUACUUCCAGAUAGUUUUCUUUUUUAAAGUGAAGUGCUUUAUAUUUUAUUUGAAAUAAGUGACGAAAGCCAUUGCAUCAUGAGCAAGAUUUAAGAGGAUUAAACUAAUUUGGUAUGGAAUAUCUUCAAUUAAUUAAUUUGAAAGAAAUGGAAAAAUUGGCUUUUGGUUCUAUACAUGUUUCAUGCAAAGAGACAUCUAAAUAGCUUUUCUUAAAAUAAAAGAAACUAACCAAACACUAUCACUAAAUAUUACUUAAAUAAUUUAAAUUUAAUUAUGUCGAAUUUUUAUUAAAUUCUUAUUAAAUACUUUUAUGUUGUAAGUACAUAAAUUUUUUAUACCUUUUAAGUGAAUUUUUAUUUUUUAAUUAUUUUCAUUAAAUGAGUGGUCUUGUCAUCUUAUAUAUUGUAUAAAUCUAAGGUUUGUAUAAACGAUAUUAGGGUUAAAAUAAAAUGAAUGUUUAUAUUUUAUUUAUUUAUAAGAUGUUCAAUUAUGAUUUCCUUAUAUUUUUCAAUGAUUUAUUAAGACAUUUUUCUGUCAUCAUUAAUGAAAUAAUUUUUUUAUUUAAUAACAGUAAAAACAAUAAAAGUUAUUUAUUAUUUAUAUUAAUUAUAUUACUAUUUUAUAUUAUUCACAAAACUUUAUAUUUUUAACACGUAUUAACAAAAGUAAACUAUACGAUUCAAUUAAAAAAAAUGUAUAUUCAAUAAACAAACAAAAAUUAAUAAAAACUCAAUUAGAAAUUCUUGAAUUCAUUAUAAAUUUAAAACUUAAUUGAAUCUAACAAAUGAUUUAUUUAUUAUUGUAUGUAAGUAACGUGAAUCAUUAUAAAUGUAAAAUUAUUAAUGAUUUUUAAUGUUAGAUUAAUUAUAUAUUAAUUUUAAUUUUUUUUAAUAAAAACAUAUAAAUAAUUACUAAAAAUAUAUUCAAUUGUUUUAAUUAUUAACAAAAUUGAGGAAUUUAUAUGAAAAUUAUAUUUAUUUUUUCAAUUAUACUAAAAAAAACAUAGGAGAUUUUGUUUCAUUCCAAUAAAAUAACAUUAAGGAAAGAUAUUUAGAAAAGUGAGAUAUAGAGGAAUUGGCGGGUUAAAGAAUUCAUUGUCUGAACCUUUCUCCGUUCUUCUCUUCUCUUCCGUUCCAUUUCCGUUAUCUUCUCCUCUGCAACAAUGGUAAAUCAAUGAUUUUUUGUUUCUUAAAUUACAAAAAUGGUUUCAUCAGCUGCAGUGACAGCAACCACCUUAUUCAACCCAUCAUCAUCAUUAUCACCAUCUUCUUAUUCUUUCACUUCCCCUAUUUUCCCAAAACCUAACACCUUCACUCCAUCCAAAUCCAACGCCGUUAACGCCCUAUGCACCAAACCGAAAAUCCGAUCCAACGUCGCCGACAAGCUAAACAACAUCGCCUCUGAGUUUACCUCUCUCUCGCAACCCAUCGACCGCGUCAAACGCCUUCUCCACUACGCCUCCCUCCUCCCGCCCUUCCUUGACGCCGACCGGGUUCCGGCCAACCGAGUCGUUGGCUGCGCCACCCAGGUAUGGGUGGUGGCUGAGAUCGACGAGCGGCGGAGGAUGCGCUUCCGCGCCGACAGCGACUCCGAGAUUUCGAAAGGCUUCUGCUGGUGUCUGGUCUGGAUUCUCGACGGCGCGAAACCCGAGGAGGUCCUCAUGGUCGACAGGGAGGAUUUGGCCGACGUCAAUGUCGGAUUGGGGAUGAGUCUCAAGGCCCACUCCCGGACCAAUACGUGGCACAACGUUUUGUUCACCAUGCAAACUGCCGCCAAAGAUUUGCUCUGAAUUCACUUUUUCCCUCUCACUCAAAUUUUGUAACAAUAGUUUUUCAUUUUCUCUUAAACUUGCCUUGGUUUUAUCGCAUGUUUGAUUAUAGCAAUGCAAAUUCCAUUCUAUCUCGAAUCUCUGUUUUUAUUAUGCUGCUACUCUUUAUAGUUUUUCAUUAUCAUCUUCUCCUCAUAUAUUUCAUAUUGCCAAAAAUUAUAUUUAUAUGACCGCUUUCCUGAUCGGUUUAUAGUUGCAUAUGCUUGUAAAACCUAGAUAUUCCAUGGCUGACAUGUUCUUAAAACAUUCAUUCACGUGAGCAGUGUGGCGGUAUUACGAUUGUGACAGGUUCGUUGGUGAAGAACAGAUAUGCAGAUGAUGAUAUCUGAUGUACACAUAUUGAGGUAUUUUAGUUAUUUAUUUUCUUUCCACCACUUGUUCUUUUGGUGAUUACAAAAUGUUGCUAAUGCUUGUGGCUGUAAAAAAAUUAUACUUUACUUUAGUAUGUGGGAUGUCACCCUAGAAAUUUUAAUUAUGUUAUCCUUACAUAAAACUUAUGAAAUUUAGAAUUUUAUCUUAGUAAUUAAUGUACACUUUAUUAAUUAUAUUGCAUAUUAAAUUUAAUUUAAGAUCAUUGUAGUAUAGUAUGUAAAUUUUGUCAGUGAGAAAUGCAUAGGUUUUGAGACCAAAAUAUUUCUUCUUCAUGUUCUUCUGCCGCUGGUUUUUCUGGAUGUUUGGUCGUUUUGUCAACAUGCCUUGUGAUGAUAUUUUGACAGUAUUUAUAUGUCCAAGCUGCACCCUCAUUUUCAGAAAUCAUCAGCUCAAUUUUACUAUUAUUUUCAUAUACUUUUAAAAAAAUAUUUUAUUCUAGUAGAUAGAAAAGGGAAACAGAAAAGUACAAAAACAUCUGGUGCAUAGAUAAGAUUUGUGGUCAAAUCUGGAUUAUGACUUUAUAGUCUUAUUGUCUAAUCAUCGUAGAAAUUAGCAGAAAGUACUACACAUGAUAAGCCUAUGGGAAAAUAAUUAAUUUUCCCAAAGAAGAUUUCACUAUGUUCAAGAUUAUUUAUAUUCACUAAACAAGGAUUUUAUUCAUAUGUUCAUAUUCACCUUGGAAACUGUGAUUGGAUUAAUAAUGUUCCUAAAGUUAAUUUUAGCCAACAAUAUUGUAUUUUUUUUUUUGUUAAAUGUUUUAAAGUUAAGUUUUUCUUUUAUCUAUUGCUACUUUUAUUGAGAAACGUAGUUAUUUGGCUGGUUAUUGAUUAAAUUUAAGAUAAAUAUGAUUUUGGUUCUUAUUGUAUAAAUCAAAGAUGAUUUGGUCGUUAAUAAGACAAAAACAAAUUACUCAAUUUUAAAAUAUGCAAUAAAUGGGACAAUUAUCUUUUGUAAGUCUUGUGUAAUUAUUUAUCGUUAAGGUGUAAUAUUAAGAAUUAUUUGGAGACUAUAUUAUAUUUCUUGACAAUCAGUUUGAUAUUUUGAGUUAAAGUUUACACCAUAAAAGUUGAAUUAAAAUAGUCCUAUAAAAAGCUGAUAAAAAAAUAAUCCUCUUGAAAAAUGAGUUUGACUUAUAUUUGAUAAAAGCAAAAUUUAUUUAGAUAAUAUUAAUUAAAACUAUUUUUAUAUGUAAUCACUGGACAUGGUAUGAAGUUCCAAAUAAAGCAAAAACUACAAAUAAUGAUACUUAGACAACAUUUUUUUUACAACAUUUGAACAUUAUUUACAUAUCAUUCUGUAAUUGGUCUAUGGUGAUAUUUUUUAUUAUUAUUAUUAUUGAUUGUGAAGUAAUUUUGAACCAAUCACAGAAUGACACAUAGAUGAUUUCAAAUGUCGUAAAAAAAAUGUUGUAUAAGUAUUAUUAUAAAAAAAUUACAUGUGAUCAAAGUAGUAAUAAGUGAUAGCUUUAGACAUAUUUUAAUAUAAUAAAAAAAUUGAUAAAAAUAUUGAAAAGUUCAAAAGGCCUUUAUUUUGAUUUGUAAAGGAUAAACGGUUCUCCUUAUUCCGUCGCCACCCACCUUAACUAUUUUAUUUAUUUAUUUUAUUGAGUGUACUGUUGUGAAAUUGGGUGAAUUUCGAAAUUAUAUAAUUUAUUUAUCUUUUUACGAAAAGGAUGAUUUUAAAUUAUGAAAUUUGGGUAUCACUUUUAAAUUUAAAAUUUUAUAAUUUGAAAGUUUCAUAUCAUUAACACUUAAAUUACUUAUUCGAGUUAUAUAAUUAAGUAUAUAUUUUAAAAUUUUAGAUAGCACAGGAAGUUUCAAUAAAAAUAAACUUUAAGAAAAAGUCAAAAAGAAUAUUUUAACAUCUGGGAAAAGAAAUUAGCCGAACACAAAACUAAGCUAAAGAAACUACAAACAAAUUAAAUUCCUUGCUACGCAGUUUCUUUAUGUACCUUCAUAAAUUUAUUAUUGCACUUCAUACCAAAAAAAAAAUUACUUUUGUCUUUUUUGGAAUGCACAAUAUGGAAAAAUGAUUUUUAGAUUGUGUAAUAAAAAAAAAAUUGAUUGUGUAAUUCAGAAGUAUUUUUUCUGAUAAAAAAAAACAUUGAAAAGUAAAAAAUAAUUUUCAAAUUGUAUAAUUUGAAAAUUAAGUGACUUCCAGAUUGUAUAUAUUUUUUCCUUAACUAUCUCUAUUUUUUGGAAGGCAUCAUAUUACACAAAAUGAGAUCUUUCUACAUGGGAGUGCAGGUAGAAAUUUACGAGGUUCUACAAGAAGCUGCAUCCUUACUAAUAAUGCUAAAAGAGCCCAUGGACCCGUGACUUUGAAAAGUAACUUUUAAUCUCGGAAAAAAGUUUUAAUAAAAAAAAAAAUUACGAAAAAGAGAAAACGACUCCACUGGGGAUCGAACCCAGAAUCUCUGGUUCCGUAGACCAGCGCCUUAUCCAUUGGGCCAUGGAGUCCGUUUGAUGUUAGAGUACGUUCUUAACUAAUAUUAAAUAUUUUAAUUCAACAAAAAAUUUAAAUCUUAAUUAAUCUGAAAUAUUAAUUAUGGUAUUACUAUUGUGCCUAACUUUACAGCUGAUUUGAAUUUUGUGUUCUUGAGAGCAUUGAAUAUGUUGGUCCCCUGACUAUGUGGUGAGUUUUUGGCUAUGAAUGAAAAUGGUGAAAUUAAAAGAAUGUGUACUAUGGUGGAACCACAAAAUGUACUAUUUCCCUAUCAUAAAGUUUACUUACAUUCCACUCACAAAUAUUCAUCAAACUGUAAAUAAAGUGGGUAGAAAUAACAUAACAUAUACUAAAAUAGUAAAAGAUUAAACAUUUUUUUCACUAACUUUUACAUAAAAUUAUAAUUAAUUUCUCUUUAAAAUUUUGACCGAAUUUAAUUCUUCGUCUCUAAAAUAAAUGGACUUUAAAAUUUUAUAUAAUUUUUAUGAUGUUUUAUCGUGGAUGAUAUGUGUCAUUAUAUAUACAUGUAAAUUACAAUUAAUUUUUUAAUUUAAAAAAAAAUAAUUAUUUUGGAUUGUCUACCUUGAAAAGUUUUCAAUUUUUUUUUUAAUUUAAUUAAUUCAUGCGUAUAAUGACAUGGUUAAAACAUUAUCAUUUAUGGCGGAAUCUCAUUAGAUAAUUCAACAAAAUUCUAUAUUGUUCGGAAUUAAAUCCAUUUAUUUAUGAAGUUGAAAAAUCAAAUUGAUUCAAUUUUUUUUAAAAAAAAACUAAGUUUAAUUUCACGUAAAAAUUAAAAAACUAUAAACAUAUUUAAUCUAAUAAAAAACAAAGAUUAUAUUUUUUAUUAUUUUAAUAGUUUUUUUAAUUCACUUAUACGUAUGUAUUUGUUUUAUUUGGUGAGUUACGUAUACAUUACUCAAAAUAAAGUUAAGUCAGAAAAACCCUAAUUUAACACUUUGUGGUGCGAUUUGGUUGAAAGGUUAAUUAGGGAUUAUAAAUAAAGGUAUGCAUGAGCUUUUGUGUGGUGAAAUGGUUGGGUCUUAGGUUUAUGAUGUUCCUUUGGUAGCUGUUUUUGAUGUGUUAGGGUUAUCACCAUAACACACACCUAAAUAAAACCAAUCUUCUAAUUACAACAAAUUAUGGAUUUUAAAUUACAAUUUUUAUUUUUUGUUUUUAUCUUCUACUCCUCUCUUUUCUUUAAUUAUUAUAAAAAUAUUAUAUCAACAAUUUUGAUGUUACAUAAAGUUGGUUAACCGUCCUUAUUAAAUGCUAUCUAUUUAUAUUAAGACUUUUAUAUAUUCUAAUACAUUAAAUUAGCAUUUGACAUAAUUAGGUUGUAGUUGAAGUUAAUACGUAAAUAUAUAUUAUAGUCAACAAAAAUGUCAACGUUUUGGUAAUAUAGUAUUUCUUGUAAUCAAAUUAUCAUUUAAUUUAAAAUAUAUAAAGAAAGUAAUAUAAACAAAUUAUUCUUCAAAAUGUGUGUGCUACUAAUGUUUUUACUAUAUUAUUCUUCUAAAUUACAAUAUGAAAUAACUUAAAUUAAAUUCAUUUCGAUGUUUAAAUAUAAGUAAGGCUGCUGUUAAAACUUUUGAUAUUUUACAAUUAAUUACCAUUUAGUAUCUAUCUAUAUUAAGUAUACAUGCAAUGAAUAAUAGAUUUAUUACAUUUUGUUCAAUUUAAAAUGUCGUAAAAUAAAGCAAAUUACUACGUUUGUUUACACUGUCAAGAAAAUUGAAAAUUUUGUCAUUGUAGUAAUGUAUAAAAUUAAAGAAAUUAAGAUGAUAUAAUCUUAUGGAAAUGAUAUAAUCACUACAUUAGAAAUUGUUUUUCAUUGAUUAUGAUUUGAAUAAUAUAAUAUAAUAAAACUGUUUUUUUUUUUUUUAUAUAUAUAGAAUCUGUUAAAGCUACUCCGAAUAGUUUGAUUAUCCUGAAUAAUAGCGUUUUUAAUGGUAAUUAUUGAGCAAAUAACAUUUAAUCUUGCUAUUUUCUCAAAAAACAUUUAUAGAUUUUUUCAUAAGUUUAAAAUAAUGUCAAUAUACGAAAUUAUUUAUUCAUUAUAAAGUAUAAUAACAAUCUAAUUCAUAUUUAUUUUUGAAAACAGGUAUUUAUAAGAAGUUUUAGUUAUAUAGGACAAGUAUUUAUUCGAGGAGCCAUCUGUUUUAAAAAUACACAACAAAAUAGUGAUUAAAUAAAUAAAAAUCAUAUUAAAGAAGAAAACAUGCUAGUAUAAAUAUAUAUAUAUAUAUAUAUAUAUAUGAUUUUAUUUAUCUUUUGUCUCCACACCCAUAUUUGUUUUCAUUUUAAUUUUUUUAAUUAAUUAGAUAAUAUAAAAAAAUAUAUACACUUUUUUUCCAACUUACUUUGAAGACAUAUUUGAUAUUUUAUUCUUCUAUAUAACUAUCUAAUAUUUAUCUAAUAGUAAUUUGAUAUUUAUACAGUCAUAAUUUAUUUUUGAUAAUUGAUAUUAGAGAAAAAAAUUGUAUCCUGACGACAUGUAAUCUUUGAUAUAUUAUGAUCUUUUUAUAAAUAAUUAUUUGGUUUAAUACUCAACUUUGUCCCUAGUUUGGUUGGCAAAUCUCAAUUUAGUCCCUAUUUAGAAAAGUGUUUGAAAUUGGUCUUUAUUUUUAAAUUUUUGAGUCAAAAUAGUCCCUUCCGUUAAAUAAUGACAAACGGUGUUAAAUUCUUUUUCUCUCUCUUCUCAUUUUCUGUGCAUUGCAGGUUUUUGUCAGCAUUUGCAGUAUUUAAUGAUUAUUGUACUUUUCCCAAUAAAAAAUAAAAUUUAAACAAAAACAAAAAAAUCAUUAAAAAAUUAAAUUUUUUAUUUUUAAUUUUAGAGUAAUUAAGAAAUAAAUACCUUUUAAAAAAAAUUAUAAAUUAAAAACAUAUAUUUAGAUUUAUUUUUAAUCAAUUUUUCAAAAUUUAAAAAAAGUACUGUAAAAAUAAUAACUAAAUAAAAAUAUUCUUUUAAAGAGAAUCACAUUUAUAAAGAAGUAGAAAGGUAUUUCAACUAAAUUUUUUUGACUUUAUUAUUCAAUAAAGGAUAUUAAAUUUUGUGUUUUUGUUUAAAUUUUAUUUUUUAUUUAGUUAUAUACAUCAUGAAAACAAAAUAUUAUUUAGUUAUAAAUCAUAAAAUUUAAAAAAAAAUAAAAAAAUCAUUAAAAAAUUAAAUUUUUUAUUUAAUCAUAUUAAAUUUUAUUGGGAAAAGUACAAUAAUCAUUAAAUACUGUAAAUGCUGACAAAAACCUGCAAUGCACAGAAAAUGAGAAGAGAGAGAAAAAGAGGGCGUUGAUGCCUGCACCUCUCCUCUUUGGACCUCCACCUCCCCAUCCCAUUUUUAUCCUUUCUUUUUUUAUUUAUAAUUUUAAUAAUUAUUUAUAUUCCUAUUAUACCCUUUAAUAAAAUCUAAUUUAUAGAUUAAUUUUAAUUCUAAUAUUUACAAAUAAACCUAACUUUUUUUCUUUUCCCGUUUUACUCUCUGGUUUUUUCUGUUUCAUUUGGUUUUUCAAAUUCUUUCUGUUCUCUUUUCUUUGGGUGUCACAAAUUUUAUUAACUGUGUGAAAAUUUUCUUCUGAGAAUCGUUGGCAAUUCUUCUUCUCUUUCCAUGUUAUGACAUGUGUGUGAAAAGACUUUGAGCUUCAAAAUGAACUUGACACCUAGCUCAAUGUGUAAAUUAGUGUAAAUCAAUCAACUUUAGGCUGUCGAGGGAGAGUUGGGCAAUGGAAACACUGUGAAAGGUGAUUGUCUGACAUGGAUUUGUCCAACAAAUGUUUAUCAGGCCCUAAACGUAUGUCGACAUCUGUCUGGCCCUGAAACGGAUGUUCAUAUCCGUCGACGGAUGUCCGACCUCCGUUAAUGACUGUCUUCUUCCUGUUGCGCGCAAACAAACCUCUACCAGAAACACAACACAAAACGAAACGAAGGGCGCACAAACAGAGCAAAAUGAAUACAAUUUAAAACCCUAAAUCACAUACAUUUACAAACCAAGAAAUGAACACAAUGCGAAACGAAAACUAACCUCUCGGCAGAAACGAAACGAAGCGCCGCACCACCGCCACACCACGCUGCACCGCCGCCGCUGCACCGCCGCACCACGCUGCACCGCCGCACACACGCAAGCAAUGACGCAAGUACAGAUAGACCGGAAAAGUUGAAACUUUUAAAAAAUCAAAGUGGAGCUUGGGGGGUGUGUGAAUGGGAAGGGAAGGGGAGGUGGAGAUGUUUUCGAAAAGUUUCGAAAGUGUGAGUGUGAAAGUGAAAAGUCUGUGAGUGAGUGUGAAAGUGAAAGGGUAAAGUGAAAAUUAGGAUUAGUUAAUUAAGAAGGUUAAAAAAGUAAAAAUAAUAAAUUUAAAAGGUUAAUUUUGUAAUUAAUGAAAAGUUAAAAAAAAAUGGGGAGGUGUAGGUUUGAAAUGGGGAGGUGGAGGCAUCAAUGCCCAGAAAAAGAAUUUAACACUGUUUGUCAUUAUUUAACGGAAGGGACUAUUUUGACUCAAAAAUUUAAAAGUAAGGACCAAUUUCAAACACUUUCCUAAAGAGGGACUAAAUUGAGAUUUGUCAACCAAACUAGGGACAAAGUUGGAUAUUAAACCUAAUUAUUUUUAUCCAUAUUGAUUCUCAUACUCAAAUAGUAUAGAAUUCUCAUUAAAAUUUGAAAAAAAAAAUAUGCCAACUCAUUUAUCAUGAAGACACACGUAUACAUUAAAUGUGAAAUUAAAAUUUACCAAAACAGUCUUACCUCAGCACGUUAAAAUUUAGAAUUUUAUUGAAAAAAAAAAGAAAAUAUAAUAACAAACUAUUCAGACUAAUAAAUAAAAAAAGAACCAUCUUUAAGAAACAUUCCUUUUCUGUUAAAAUAACAAACAUUCCCUAAUUUUUAAAGAUCGAUGGGAACAUAAAAAAAGAAAUUGGUCUUUUCUUUGUUCUGUUUAGUCACAACACAUGGCAGUUUGUGUGAAACAGAAACAUGCUAAUGGAUUUCAUAAUCUCAUUCAUUCCACCUUAAUCUUUGCCUAAACCAAUUAAUUAACAAAACACAAUCCCAUAAAUAACAUCACUUUUUAUUUCUUUAUUUAUUUUAUAUAUUUGUUUUGAAAUGCAAUCACCAAUCACAAUUUAUCUUCUCUUUCUCUCUCCACAAAAAUUAAUUUGUAUGAUCUAGUAGGAGAAGAGAAAGGGAACUCAAAACCCAAAACCCAAAGGUAAAAGAUGAAGGACCAUGUCCUUUCAUGCUGUUUAAACUCUAAAGAUCUUGUUUUGUAGUCAUAUAAACUCAGAGGGAAGAAGAUUCCAUUCUUCAUUUAUUUCUUUAUACGUCUCUGCCUCUUAAAAAUUCUUUCUUUCUUCCUUCUGUAAUAUCCAUCUUUGUUUUCGAUCAACCCCAUCAAACUCCUCGCACUUGGGCUGUUUUUUUUCUUCUGCUUUUUACCAGAAAGCCUUCCAACUUUGCUCAGAUCUUCGACUUCUUCCUGGUGAGUUUUUUGUUUUCUCUUAUUUGUUCUCUUUGUUGUUGCAGAAUCGAUGAACUAAAGUUGGAAGCUUCGAUUAGUAGGAUUGAAUUUCCCUAAAACAUGACCCCGUGUAACGUUUUCCCCCUUUUUUCCCCUUCUUUUCUGAAAUAAAGAUAAAAAAAAUGAUAAAUUUAGGAUCACGGGUCGUACGUAGCAUACAAUACAGCUUCAGUUUAGAGAUGAAGAUUCUGCUAAAUGAUUUUUGAAUUCAUUUUAUGAUGACUGGCACAAUCAUUGCGUCUUUAUCACGCUGGAGAAUUGUGCCUGUUUAAAAGCUUAUAAUUAGUUUCCUCGGGAGGUUUUUUCUUGUAAAUCCUUAUGUUACUAAAAUACAAUAAAGUAAUUCAUGUAUGGUAAGUUUUAUAUUUUCUCUUUCCUUUUUCUUCUUUCCUUUUUAUUUGAAUGCUUUAAUGGCAGUUUCUAUAUUUACAUAGGAACUGCCGCUUGGUUUUGCAAUUGUUUAGCCACUAAGUUGGGAGUCAUUAUCCUCUUUAUUGGUCUGUGAAAUCCGUAUCAUCUUCUGUCAAAGGUAUCACAUGAGUUGUCCAACCUAACUGAGUUAAUUUCGGAGGCUAUCUUGGAAAAGGCACAUUCUUUUAUCGUUCAUGGUUCACGUAACUCGGUGUAUUUCUUUAACGGCUGUUAGCUAAAUUUGGUUUCUUUGCCUUUUCUUCUUGGCAACUUCUAGGACACUAACCCACAGUGCCUUGUAGAGGUGCUCUUGCUUCCAUAACUGCCAUUUGAUUGCUAUGGUUGAAAACUUCAACAGAAUGGUGCUAUGAUACGUUGCCAUGCUUCUUGGGUUUUGGAACAACGUCAUUAAUAGGAGUAAAGUAAACUACUUGUGAAUGCUACUGGUGUGUUUGGGAUUUGAGGUCAUAUUGUAUACUUUGUAUUCCACUUUAUAUGAUCUUUUUUCUCUCUCAGAAAACAAUUAUCUCGUGUUGUCUUGACAUUAGAAUCAUUAUCUGGUUCCAAAGUUUUUAUGUUUCUUGUUCUUUCUUGUUUGUUCCUUUAGCAGGGUUUCUAUUAUUCUAAUUUAACAAGCGUACGUAGCUGUUUCUUAUACGGAGGAUACUUGCCAAUUGAUAAACUGAGGAAUAGUUCCUGCAUAUAGUUUUAUGAACAUACAUUUUACAGAAGUUGCAACAUAGAUGGGGAUCAUCACUCGAAGGUCUAAUUAUUUGUGAUAGCUAACUGUGUUUUUCUUACAAGAAAUUUUGUGGAUUCUAGAUACAGUCAUCGGCUCCCUUCAAUUGACAUUGGUCAUUUCCAUUUCAUUUACUGCAGUUCUGGUGGUAGAAAACCGAGUGAAAUUAUGAGGUUUUUUGUGACAACUUUUAUUGGUAUAGUUUUCGGAUUCUUUAUAGGAGUAUCAGUUCCAACAUUGUCAAUAACAAAGGUAGAGACUGAGUAUCUCCUUCCUCUCAUCUUUAUAGCAUACUCUGUACAGAAGCAAAUUUUUUCGAAUGGUUUUAUGUUGUUGAACUUGAUAAUGUUAUGCUAACAGUACUUAACAAUUUGUAGUUGAAUCUCCCAUCUGGCCUGCUUCCCUCCAUCGAUCUUUCCUACAUCGAAGACAGAUAUACAGGUCGCCAAGCAUGGACUUUUAUGAAUAAUGGUAACAAGAGAAGUUCAUCUCAAGUUCAAGCAUUAAAUGAUACAUCAAAGGUACAAUGGGGAUUCUAUGUAGUUAAGGAUCUAUAGCUUUUAUACUGUCGUUUUCAUGUUCUUGUUCAAAAUGUCAAUAUUGAUAAGAGCUUUCAACUUCCAAGAAUGGCUACUUAGAGAGUCUGUAUAUCUAAUUAUUUAUCAAUCACUUGCUCCUCACUCUCUUGCUUCUAUUCAGAUUUGGGUUCCAUCAAAUCCAAGAGGUGCAGAAAGAUUACCUCCUGGUAUUGUUGAAGCUGAGUCGGACUUUUAUCUGCGUAGAUUGUGGGGUAAGCCCAGUGAGGUGUGUAUCCUAACCUUGUCAUUUUUGUGCUCUAAAAUACUGAAGCUAAAUUUAUAUCAACUCUUCAUUUAAGUGCUACACGGUGUAAAAAGGUCUAGAAAAAGAAGUCUUUCAUAUGUUUGGUCAGAUUCUUUGCUUGCUUAUAUGAAAAAAAGCAAACAAAUAUAAAGUGGACAGAACUUUUAACUAAGUUAACUGUUGCAGGAUCUAACGUCCAAGCCAAAUUAUCUUGUAACCUUCACUGUUGGCUAUGAGCAGAAAAAUAAUAUUGAUGCAGCCGUGAAAAAGGUUUUAGUCAGUCCAUUCUUGUUUCUUUGUCUCUGUUUGCAUAUGCUUGCUCAUUUGUUUUUUAACCAAAAAUUUGCUCCAACAGUUUUCUGGGAAUUUUACUGUCCUUCUGUUUCACUAUGAUGGCCGAACAACUGAAUGGGAUGAGUUUGAAUGGUCAAAGCGGGCUAUUCAUGUGAGUGCUCGCAAACAGACCAAAUGGUAAGGAGCUAAGCUAUUCACUAUUUCUUUUAGAUGAUUAAGUUUUGUUGUGAUUUCUGCAAUAAAUAUUGUUUUUUGACAACCUAAUUCCAAAUAUGCUACUGUAUCGACAAUUUUAGCUUUUCCCUUUUAGGUGGUAUGCCAAGCGGUUUCUGCAUCCUGACAUUGUUGCACCAUAUGACUAUAUAUUCAUAUGGGAUGAAGACUUGGGUGUUGAGCACUUCGAUGCAGAAGAGUGAGUAUUGGAUAUUAGAGGUACCUUUUUUUUAUGUUUUUGUUUUAUUUUUAAGCCAAGUUUCACGUGCCUCUCUUGUUUCAUAUGCAGGUACUUAAAACUGGUGAGGAAGCACGGCUUGGAGAUUUCACAGCCUGGUUUGGAACCUAAUAAGGGCUUGACAUGGCAAAUGACAAAAAGAAGAGGUGAUCGUGAAGUCCACAAGUAAGAAUGAUUGGAAUGCUGCACCAGUUUUGUAGUGCUUCUCGUUACUUCAAAGAAUAUGCUUUAACUGUUUAUUUUCUUGUAUUUCUAUUAGAGUGACAGAGGAGAAACCAGGAUGGUGUUCUGAUCCUCAUCUGCCUCCUUGUGCAGCGUGAGUAACUGCUGAUGUAUAUCAUCAUUACAUUAUCUUGUCUUCUGAUCUGUAUAUAAUUCUGUUGUCACUGUUUCACAAAUGUAGAUUUGUUGAAAUUAUGGCUCCAGUGUUUUCGCGUGAUGCAUGGCGCUGCGUGUGGCAUAUGAUUCAGGUUGAUCGGUUAAUCCUAAAAUAUAGAUUGUUUUAGAAGAUGCCCCUUGACUAGUUGUUUGUUCUAUGCGUCUUUGACUAGUUGUUUGAUGUUUCUCUAAGCACUUGCUAACAUAGUGCAUUGUACCACUGGAAAUUGCAGAAUGACUUGGUCCACGGGUGGGGUCUUGAUUUUGCUCUUAGAAGAUGUGUGGAGGUAAGUCCAUUCUCAUAUUUUCUCCAGUCAUCUAAUUGGUGUAACCUUAGGAUAAGCACAUGCAAUGAAAAGAAAAAAAAAUGCCAUCCAUGCAUGAUGCUACGAGCUUUAAACUAUUAUACUUUUUCUGACAUAGCCUGCACAUGAGAAGAUUGGAGUUGUUGAUUCUCAGUGGAUUGUUCACCAAGGUCUUCCCUCUCUAGGGAAUCAGGUAUUUCCUUUGCCGUGAUUUCUCUAAACCAAACAGUUUUACCCAAAAAUGACAUUGUAAAAUGCUUAUUAAUAUUCCCUUUCUUUGCAGGGUGAAUCUCAAACAGGAAAAGCACCAUGGCAGGGGGUAUGAUGCUACUAUCUUUUACCAGUUCCAUUACUAAUGAUUCAAUUACUCUUCUCAUCAUGAUAUUAAUAUUAAAAGUCUAUUGGUAAUGAAAUUUGUGGAUAUUGAAUGUUGUUGUUGGUGCUAGGUGAGGGAGAGGUGCAGAAAGGAGUGGACCAUGUUUCAGACUCGGCUGGCAAAUGCAGAAGACGCGUAUUACAAGUCCAUAGGAAUUGAUACAUCUAAUUCCACUGCUCAUUAGGGGUACCACAGCCAAACUUGACUUGUACACAGAUAUCAUUUACACUUACUACUAGGCUUAGAUUUUUUUCUUCCUUAGAAAAAGGUAUUAUUCCUUUGCAAUCACAGUCUAGAGUUCUAGCUAGGGAUCAAAUAUCAAUUUCACAGACCAUCGCUGUACCUAAACUGAAUUAAUCAAGUGAAGAAAAUUGAUAUUGCGGCAUGAGUCGAUUGUGACAUGAUCCAACUCCUUCUUAUACUUAAUAUAAGAAAUAGAAACCUGCUUGUUCUUAUUGUUUUAUUCCAUGUCUUCUAUACUGAAAUAAAAUUAAAAAUUUCAUGUUAUCAUAAAGGUUUUUUUUUUCUUAUUUUUCCAUGAUAUUAAUACUUUCAAUGUGUUGACACACACGAAGACAAGUAGAGGAGGAGGGUCGUUUUCAGAAUCCGGUGUGGGGCUCAAAUCGGAUAUGCAUGGUUCCAUAUUUAUUUCCGCAGUACUGUUGUGAUCACUUCAUCACAUGUUCAACUCUGGUGAACUUUCUAGAUUGGUUUACCAAUGGUUCCUGUGGGACACUUUUUUUGUUUUUGUUGAUUACCAUCUGUUUAAUCAACUUAACUUGUUCGAGGAUCAAUCCAACAUUUUAUUAACUCUCUACAAUGAGGACAACUCAACCAGAUUCUUCCAUAUCUAACUAUAAAACAGCUCAAGACUUUUGGAAUUGGUCUCUCGUGUGUUGUCGAUCACGCGUUAACUGGUAUUAGUUAGACACCAACGUAAGAUUCACGAUAUCGUUCUCGACAUAAAAGUUCCAACAUUUAUUUUUCAUGUAAAUACAGUGGAAGAAGGUGUGAAAAUGUCGUCUACGACCCGAAAAGCAGAAAUCUUGAAAUUGCAAUGGGAAAUCAUGAGUAACAAAAGUUAAUAAAUCAUGAGUCACUUCUCAAAGGAUGAAUUGGUUUGGUUAAGAGGGUGACAUGUUGACGGAACUUGAAAACAUGGUCCCCACCACACUUAACUGUAUAUCUUUUCAUUUCUAUUCUCUACAUUCAAUCUUCUUCUUUAUAUCAUUUAUGAUUUAUUUUUAUUUUUGUUUCACAUGAUAGCAGAUACCACUUUGUAUAUAUGGGUUUCUCAGAAGGAAAAUAACUCUUCUUGGGAAUUAUGAUGAACGUACGUGUUAAAUAAAGAACACACGUUUCUCUGUUAAGAAUGUUUUGAGAAAAUUUUCAUACUAUAUAUCAAAUUUUCAUACUAUGCAUAUGGAUACGUUACGAGAAAAUCUUAUUUCUUUUAAAAAGUAAGCAUAUAACUUAUUAUGUGUGUAUACUUUUAAAGGAAAAAUUCCUUUAACAACUUUUUUUUACAACAUAUUAUUGGUUCGUUUCAAAUAUUCUUUUUAAAUUUAAAUUCAAACAGAUCAAUUAAAUGAUAACACAUGUUCUGUUAUAAAAAAGUUAUUAAAAAAAAUUGUUAAAAUAUCAAAAUCUACAUUUAAAUAAAAUAAUUUUCUGCUUUUUUUUAGUAUUUUUCCUAUAAACAUAAAGUUGUUUGAAAAAAAUUAUUGAUAUUCCAUCACAUCACUUUGUUUUAUAACAUAACAAUGUGUUUUUAAAAUAUAAAUAAUAUUCUUACAAUAUAAGUUUAUAAAUAUUUAAAUAAUGAAAAAUUUGAUGUACACGGAUAAUUUCAUGCUAUUUUAAUAAUUAUAUAAUAAAAAAAAUCCUUUUUUUUAUAAACGAAACAUAUAAUUUCUACAUAGUUUUAUAACUAAUUUAAAAUUCCUGAAAUAAACAUAAAACAUAGAUUUUGUUUCAACCUUUUUUCUUACAAUUUGUCAUAGUAAAAUGAAUGACACAUGAAUAAAAGCAUAACAAAACAUAUAAAAGGAAAAAAUAUUAUUUUGACACCAUCUUUUUUUUUUGUUAAAAGCCGCGUUGCCGCUGUGUCUUGUUUGGCAAUAAAGUCUUGUCAAAGUCUUUUGAGAAAAAGCAUCGCACACGUGUACGCAGAUACAACGCUAAAUUUUAUGUCGACCACAUACGUUACUUACAGAAUAAAUAAUUUAUAUUUUUCUUACGAAAUCAACGUAAAUAUAAAAAAUAAUAUUAUAAUAAAUCGUAAAAUGGCUCUGUGUAUUUUUAUUCGUAUUAUUUGAAGUAGUUUUUAAAUAUUAUACGAAAAUUAAAGUAUAGUUAACAUGUGUCAAAAUGAAGAAUGGUGAAAGAAAAAAUCUGAAGUGUGAUAAUUGAUUGGGGGCAAUGAAAGCGUUAGCUCAAGUUAAGAGCUUUCGAUGAUGGAGCAGCCGAAAAUCUAGAAACCUCGGAUUGGUGACACCGCAUAUCUCUCUGGACACGUGUCCUCCUCACACCAAUCCUCUUUCUGAUGCCAAACCCAGUUAUUCAUUUUCACAUACCCACGUGUUGCCACGCGUAAAUUAAACCCUUACCCAACCAUGGUUACGCCUACGCUUAUGGUUACCAUGUGUAGUUAAGGAUAUGUGAACCAACAGAGCUCACUAUAGUACAGUCUCUCUCUCUCUCUCUAUAUGUAUAUAAUAUAUAUCAUGUAUAAAAGACUGGAACACAACAUUUUCUAGUAUUGAUCAAAGAACAAGUGGGUGUGUGUAUGUUGUGCUGUAAUCGGUGUCUGAUUCUGGUCCUGUGUGAUGGGUCUGUCAAAUUUUCCAAGUGCAUCAGAAGGGGUGCUUCCUGUGCUGGUGAUAAACACGGUUCUCUCAGUGGCUGUGUUGAAGAACAUGUUUAGAUCCAUGGUCCAAGUUGUGGGAGGCAGUCGAAGUCCAAGUUCCGGUGGGAACAGCGAACAGGAAUGUCAUGAAAGUUCACGAGAAAGGAGGGUGUCGAUAACUCAGUUCAAGGCAUUGUCGAAGGACAUAGGAAGAAGAAGCAGUGACAGUGGAUGGAAGGGUGUGACCAUGGUUGAGUGCUGCGUUUGCUUGUGUCGUUUUGAAGGCAAUGAAGAGGUUAGCGAGUUGCCUUGCAAACAUUACUUCCACAGAGGCUGCUUGGACAAAUGGUUUGAUAACAAACACGCCUCAUGCCCCUUGUGUCGUUCCAUGGAUUAGACAUGUCAACAUCACACACAUAUAUACUGUUCUUCCUUCUGUAACCUGUUACGUAGCAGAGUUAGUUCUUCUUCUUGUAAUAACCUGUUACGUGUCUGUGUGCAUAUAUAUAUAUAUAUUUAUAUCCUGAUUUCUUUAGUUUGAUUUUGUAAACCUACUGCAACCAACUCAGUUCCUGUAUGUUUAGUUCUUAAGGAACAAAAUGAGAGAUGGGUUGUCUUUAAAUAGUUGUUUGGUUUUGUAAGUGACAGUGCUUGAAGCUUGAAGCUUGAAACUUGAGAAUUCCUUGAAUUUUCACCACUGCAAGAUCAUUCUGCAUAAUUUCAAUUUAAUACUUCUGUUCUGCCUUGUUUCUUUCAAGUUUGGAAUGGAAUAAUUUGAGAAUUUCUAACCUAAAUAUAUAUUUAAGGAGGAAUUCUCCGAAGAGGCUUCAAUUUCAGUUUUAAUAAUGGAAAAUUUCAGUUUUAAUAAUGGAAAAUAUUUUCACACCAACUUUUUCAUACCCUUAUUAAAAAAAAAAAUUAGUUUUUUUCUUCCAAAUAUUAUGUUUUUUUCUCAGUUUUAUUAUGUUUUUGUUUUAGUUUUUUUAAUUUGAAAAUUGAUGUGAAAAUAUCAUUUUUUUUUAAAUUUAGUUUUUUAUUUUUCAUUCCUGCCUAUUUUUUUUAUUAAGGAAUAUUAUAAAAGGAGGGAAACAAAAAUUCAGCACGACUCUUGCAAUGUGAAUUUGAGGGAGAUAUUAAUAAUUAUGCAUCACAAAAGUACUUAUUUGUCCUUUAUAGUAUUCUAAAAAUAGAUCAAUAUCAUGUUUCUCUUGAAAAAAUACCGUAAGAAUAAAAUGUCUUUAUAUCGUACAUAAUUAAGAUUUUUUUUUUCAUUUUCUUUUUUAUUAAUUUGAAUAUUGCAUCAUAAUUAUAUAUGUAGAACCGAAACAUAUUGACUAUUAAGUGGUGACGGUAUGAUUUUGAUGAAAAUGUGCACACUUAUUGGAUGUUAUAAUGAUUUUGUUUGCAAAAUUUUAAUGCCACACAUUGAUUUGCUUUGAGAACUCUUUUUAAUAACAUUUUGAUAAGUGUCAUCAUUUCAUUUUAUUAAAACACACAUAAAUAAUAAAUGAGUGGAGAAAAACGGAAAAUUUAUAAUAUUAAUUUUGUUUAUUAGAGUAUAUAUGUGUGUGUAUUUUUUUAGGGAGAAAAAUUAGUAGAAUCAGCCUAUAUUCAUUAAUUGAAAACGAAAUUAAAAAAAUAAAAAUAAAGGACUUGUUAAUGUAAUUGAACUUAUUAAUUAUGUAUAAAGAUUUACCGUCUAAAUUGUUUUUACUACUAUUUGAUCGGUAUGUGUGUAAAAUUUGUUCAUUUUUUAAUGAUAGAGCCAUUUGCGAAUUUUGACAGAAUUAUAUAUUAUUUUUUUGUUUCAGAAGAAUUUUUUAUAUAUAAUUUUAAAUUAAAUUAUUUGAAUAUAACAAAUAUGUUCUUGAUAGUGUGUGUUUGAUUUAAAUUACCAAAUACUUUUUAAAAGAACUAAUUAAAAUUAAAUGGUGCGAAUUUUAUUUUCUUUCGAUCCGAAUCACUCUUAUUUGGGUCGAGAAAGUUGACUUUUGAAUGAUGUUUUAACAUGGUUUGGGUUAAAAAAAGUUAUUUUUAUUUUUUGAGUUUACGAAAAUAUAAGGUAACGAUUUAUCUGAAACAAAUAAAUUAUAUUUUUUCGACUUACUUUUUAUUUUCAAUAAAAAGUUAACUUGUACUUCCUAAAUAAAUUGUUAUUUUAUUUUUUAUUCUGAAAAAAAAUAUUGUAAAUCUUAAUAUUGAUUGACACAGUGAUGACAAGUAUUUAAAACCAUGAAAUAAAGUUAAUUACACCGCAUUUUUGAGUCAGAAAUAAAAUCAAAGUUUAUUAAACAUCAAAAUUAUUUAUUAGAAACAAAAAAUAUUUAAGUUUAAGUAAGAUACAUUAAAAAAGUAUUUUUUCAAUUUUUUAAAUGACUAUGGUGAUAACGAAAAUAACAAACAAGAGUAACGCAUUAUGCUUAGAAAACAUAAAACAUAAAAAUAAAUUAGAAAAUAAUUUUAUUUUAGUUUUGAAAACUGAUAAAAAAUAUUUUAAAAUUGGAUUAAGAACUACUUCAACCUCGAAUUUACAUAAUAAGAUUUUGUUUUUAAAAUAAAAUAAAAAAAACUGACAACUAUCCCAAACGAACCUAAAACUUGAAAAAAACGAAUAUGCGAUUCCUCACUCCCCCAUUUUCAAUGGCAAUAAAAGAAUUUCCAAAACUGUAGAAAAGAAUAAUAAUUCCUUCCAUUGAUAAUUAAUACAUGAAUGAGUAUUCAUGGAAUAUCAUUUCUCCAUUAUUUUUAAAUAUUAGUUUAUGGCAUUUUUAAUAAAAUAAAUUAUAAAUUUUGAUGGUUAAGAUCUCAUUAUUUUACGGGAAAAGAUCUGAAGCCACUGUAUAAACACAAAUUUACAUCAAUGUUUGUAUUUUUCCUGUAGUUGAUGAAUAAAAAAAUUUCCUAAUAUUUUUAAAAUAUUUUAUAAUUGGGUAUAUAUUAUUUAUACAAAGCUUAAUACCUAUUUUGGUCCCAAUUUUUGUUAGGAAUAUUCAAAAUGGUCCCCAUUUUAUUUUUUUUGCUCAAUGUAGUCCUCAAGAAUGUAAUUUGUGUUCAUUUUAGUCCUUUUUUUUUGUUCAAUGUAGUCCUAAAGAACGUAAUUUCUAUUCAAUUUAAUCCUUAUUUGUGGUUCACGAAAUUUGUAAAAAGGAUUAAAUUGAACAGAAAAAGGACCAAAUUAAACACAAAUUACAAUAUUUAGAAUUACAUUGAACAAAAAAUAAAAAUUGAGACCAUUUCGAACUUUCCCAACAAAAAUUGGGACCAAAAUAGGUAUAUAGAAUGAAAUCAAUCGGACUACACUUUUCAACUACUUUUGUUGCAACAUCAUAUUUAUAUAUGAUAUCAAAAAGUACUCAUUCUAAAACAUGAAAUGAAUUGCGGAUGGAAAGUGGGCCGCGUUUGGGCUGACAAAGUAGAGUUACAGGUAUUUCUUCUUGCACCCCAUACAUUCUUCACAUGGAUAUGAAAAUCAUCCCUUUAUCCUAUUGGUUUAUGAAAAAAAUACCUUUAGAUAUUGCAAGUCAUUUUCUAGAAUAAAAAUAGUUUUGGGAUUACAAAAAAUAAUUUGAAAAAGUCUUUAGGAUUGCCUAAUCUAAAAGUUAUAGAAUGCAAAAGUCAUUUCUCGAUAGCACAGUGUGAAAGUUAUCGUUAGAGGCUAAAAGAGCUUCUGUCAUAGGACUGAAAAAACACUAUAUUAGAAGCAAACUGGUAGAAGAACGGAUUAAAAAUCCUAACCCAUUCGGUCAAAGGAUAGAAAAUGAAAAACAGACUAUAAUAAAGAUACAUGGCUUAAUUAAGGGUAUAUGAAUAGUUGGAGAAUAGCGAAGGUGAAUAUGAUAUUUUGCAUGCACAUGCAUGGCCGUAAGAUGGUUACGAGUAACUAAAUUUGUCCCAAAGACUUGAGUCUGGCAAGUUCAAUCCUUCUACGCUCUUGCUUGAUAAAGGCGUCAGCAUUUUGGUCUACGCUCCUCAAACCACUUCCAUGGUUGGCUUCAUCAGGGAGAGGUGUUGCUUUUUCUGCUACUGGUAUUGUCUCUUCUACGAUGCUUUUGAAGGCCACACGACCCUUCUGAUGAAGAGGAUGGCGAUCAAAACGCUUGCGUAGUGCAGGCACUGUUACUUCAUGCACCUCGUAAUCAUUCGAGGGGCACCACCCUCGGUAUCUCCACUUCAGGUUUUCGUUUUCCAUCUCCUAUAUACUUUCUGUUACUCACACCUUCAUCCUUCUUUCUUUAUUUUUCUCACCAUGCAUACAUAUAUAUAUAUAUAUACUAUUGGUGAAUUCAUUGGCUACUUUGGUUUUUUGGUGGAUUAUAGACAUCAUGUUAUUCUAUGAUGAUAAGGCAUUUAUCAAAAUAAGAAAAAAAUUCUGUGAUGAUAAGGCUGAAUCUGAUACCACUCCCUAAAGAGCUUUAAGCAAAAGUUAAGAAAUCUUUGAAAGCUAGUUGAAGUGGAUACUAGAAUAAUCGGCAAUUGGAUACGUCACCAUUCAAUUUGUUUACUUAUACCUUUUCACCAGUAAUCUUAGCAGUAUAUAUCUCUUUCCUGUUCUUGCUGAUUGCCAGGAGAUUAAAAUCUUAUCUCACUUUUGGGAAUACCUUUCAAUGCGCUUUUGUAUCAUAGGUUGAGAAGGUAAAGAUAAAAUUAGUUGACCUUUGUAUUGGUAGCAUGUGAAUUUUAUAGUUAUUGAUCAAAAAUUAUAUUUUGACACACAUAAAUUUUUAUAUUCAUUUCAUAUUUCAUAUAUUUCAUAUUAUAAUGAUAGACAACAUUAUAUUAUUACAUAGCAAAGUUAAGGAUAUUAAAAGUAACACCCAAACACAAAGGGUGGAAUCUUAUUGAAAUAAGAAAAGAUGAAAGCACAGAUUUGAUGAGAACUGUGUUUUAUUGUGAUUAUUAGAAGCAAAGUGCAUGCAGAGGAAGUUGGUGUAGGUGAUAAUUUAGACUCCCUUUGCCGUCCACUGAACUUUGUGUGGUUUGUAGUUCAUGUUGGUAAUCAUGUUCCUGUCAUAGCCAUUGGCAUAACAGGUUUCACCACCCCAGUUAUUCUUCUGGUAUCUCAUUUCACCAAACUUUGGACCAACAUGCUCCUCUCUGUAACACUCCUCAUAUUCAGUUUCCUCCGAGAAGUACUGUUGCCCACCAGAAUUCAACCUCCCACCACCACCACUACCACCGUAAGGGAACUUUCUGCCACCCCCAUGACGCGCAUAACCAUGUCCGAAACCAUGGUCACUGUGCAUGCCUUCCUGAAACAUUCCUCCUCCCAGCCUGUUCAUUUGCAUGGCUGGGUGCUGCUUGUGGAAGUUGUUGUUCUCAGAGCUCCAUGACUCUUCGUGGAAGAAAUAGCUCUCUUCCUCAGACGCACUAUCCAUCCUCAUCCCCGCAUCACCAUAGCAGUGCUGGCCAAACCCCAUUUUCUUUUGCAUUGCAAACUCCAACUUUUUACUUUCUGUUUCUGUGAUUUUCAUUCAACUCUUGCAGACCCUUUUUAUAGGCACUUCAUAGUAAUAUUAUAUUGAUGCAAAUGGGAAAAUUAUGAGAAUUUAAUUUGUCCAUUUUCGAGGGAAUUUUGAAGGAAGAAGGUAGGGUUGGAGUUGAGUGCGCCAUUAAAUUAUUGCUGCAGCUUUAUUCUAAAUACUCCAUGUUUUCUUCCCAUUUUCUUCUUUUCAAUUCCCCCAGAAGAUAUGGUUCAGAUUUCUGCAUAACAUUUAUUCCUUCUUUUCGUCAUUUAUACAUUUCAGUGUUCUUUUUCAAAGGAGUAGAUUUUGUAGUCUAAAACUGUAAGCAUGUACAUCAUAUUUCAUGCAAUCUACUGCUGCUAUACUCUUUCUCUUCUUUCU